RNAcentral lists this long non-coding RNA (47941 nucleotides) under Gossypium barbadense (sea-island cotton). RNAcentral's name for it is "long non-coding RNA (GBAR_LNC013164)". Lineage: Eukaryota; Viridiplantae; Streptophyta; Magnoliopsida; Malvales; Malvaceae. The record is from RNAcentral.
AACGAAGACAAACAGGGAGAUGAAGAUGAAACACAGAGACAUAAAAGAGUCGCUUAGGGAAAUGAUAAAGAGAAGGGAGAAGGCAAUUAAAGCAGGGGAAGAGAGCAAUGAGGACUUGUUGGACAUACUUGUGGAAUCCAAUAUCAGAGAAAUGGAAGCAAAGAAUAUGGGGAUGAGCAUUGAGGAUGUGAUUGAGGAAUGCAAGCUGUUUUACUUUGCUGGCCAAGAGACCACUUCGGUCUUACUGGUGUGGACUAUGGUUUUAUUAGCAAGGUAUCCCGAUUGGCAAAGUAAAGCAAGAGAGGAGGUUUUGCAUGUUUUGGGUGACAAUAAACCUGAUGCUGAUGGCCUUAAUCGUCUCAAAGUUGUAAGUCCCUAGCAUGUCUUUUGAAGGUCCGAUCAAUGAGGUCGACAACUCAAAAACUUUGUUUCUUUUUUCGCUAAUUCUACAGGUAACGAUGAUAUUGUACGAGGUUCUAAGGCUGUACCCACCGGUGGUUGAGCUAGGACGUUCCGUUCCAAAAGAAAUAAAACUGGGGAAUUUGUUGUUACCAGUAGGAACAGAAGUUUCGGUUCCGAUCCUGCAGAUCCACCAUGACAAAGAUCUUUGGGGUAACGACGCACGGGAAUUUAAGCCAGAGCGGUUCGCGGAAGGGGUUUCCAAAGCAACAAAGAGUCAAGUCACGUUUCUGCCAUUCGGAUGGGGUCCUAGGAUCUGUAUUGGCCAAAAUUUUGCUUUGAUGGAAGCCAAAAUGGCGAUGGCUAUGAUUCUCCAACGCUUCUGGUUCGAGCUUUCCCCUUCCUAUGCUCACUCUCCUUACAGCAGGGGAACUCUUCGUCCACAGCAUGGUGCACAGAUAAUUUUACAUAAACUUGGCUGUAAUUGAAUUGUUAUGUAAACAAAUCUUUGUGAAAACAUAGCGUUUUAGUGUAUCGUCAAAGUCCGGUGUCUGUAAUGGUACAAAUUCGAUGCAUGAAUAGUAAAUUUUGAGAUGUUUGGUGAAGUCCGAAAUAAUAUGCAGAAAUUGAGCGUCUAUGGUGGACAUAGUUGAGGGACUAAUGUGGUAAUUAUCAAUCAAAUAAUUCGGUACAAAGACUUGUAUGGAAAUUAAAGCAGGGGGAGUUGAAAAUGACUACUCUGCUUUGGGCAUCAAUUUAGAAAGAUUUAAAGUACAACUGUGUUAUCAGUUAAGGGAUUUGUUUUAAAGAGGGAAUGACAAUUAAACCUCAUGGUUUAUUUGUGCAAGGGAACCGAUGAUGGGAUGAUUAUUCUUAGUGGUAAAAAAAACCAUUAUGGAGGUUAUUACACUUGUUAUCAUCAGCUUAAAAUUCGAAUGGGUUCAAGUCGGAUUAUAUCGAGCUUGUAAGAUGAGUUCACGGACCAAGUUUGCAUAAUAAAAUACCUAAAUGAAAAAAAAUUCUAUUUUAGAGGGACGAGAGCCCCUAUCAACUCCCGGCUCAGCCACUAAACAAUACCUAUAUCAUAUAAAUAAAUACCACCAUCUAAAAGACUCAAAGAAAAACACUCAACAAAGGAUAAAUAGAUAGAUGUUGGAUAAGUGUCCAAAAUAUGAUUUAAGUGAAGAUACAUGUGGUAGGUGUUACGGAAAUGUGAAGACAAGAAUCCCACUAACGUAUGGGAUGUGUGCAGUUGAAUGUAGGGAGCAAAAAGAGGAGUGAAUCAUUUUGGUAACAUUUGGACAAGAAACAUAAUGAACAAAAUGGAAGGAGAGGAAGCUAGUAAAAGAAUUUUUUUGGGUCAUAUAAUUUGUUCAUUUUGGAGUUGAAUUAUAAUUUUUUUAUAUAUUAUUUUAAAAUUUUAAGGAGUUAAAACAAAAUUAUUUUAUUUUCAGAUGGUCAAAGUAGAGGUGAUAAUGGGUUGGGCUAUUCGGCCCGGCCUGACGAUUCACUCGAAAAAUAGGAGGGUUUAGGUAAAAAUAUAGGCUCGAAAUAGGGAUUUGAGCAAAAAAAGAGUCCCGUUUAGAAAAUGGGCCAGGCCUCGGGUAAAAUUUUUUGGGCCCAAGCCUGACCUGAAUUAUAUAUUAAAUAUAUUUUUUAAUUUUUAAUCAAAUAUACUUUUUUUUAUUAAUUUGGUUAUUAUUUUAGUUCUAAUUUGUUUCAAUUUUAAUAUAACCACUUUUUAUUAUAUUUUCAAUUUGUGUAUUGUUUUAAGAAUUGUUUUAGUCUCAUUUUUUUAUUUAUUUUUUGUUUUAAUAAUUGUUUUAAAAAUUUUUAUUUAAUGAAAUAAGCUAAAAAAAUUAAUAUGGGCUUGGCCAGGCCAGGCUCGGGCCUAGUAAUUUUCUUUUGGGCCGGACUUAGAUAAAAUUUUAAGCCCAUAUUUUAAAUUGGGUCCUAACCUAAAAAAUGAACCUAAAAUUUUAUAUGGGCCCGACUUGGCCCUUGAUUACCUUUAGGUCAGAGCUAUCCUCGUUUUGCAUUUCUUUGAGAUUCAGCCUUAUCUACUGUGAUUGCCCACUCAAUUGAGGGUUGAGUAGAAAGAUUUGGUGAAGCAAGCUAAGCUAUCAAUCAAGGUUUGCAUAAUUAUUUAAAUGUAAUUCUAAUAUUAAAAUAAUUUUUUUAUUAAUAUAGUAUCAACAAGCAUUAAAUGUAAUGAUCAUAUACUAUUACAUUUUAAAGAAGAGAAAACAUGUUUGAACUUUAAAAACCACGUUACUAAAAACAUUAUCACAAACCUUGAAAUAUAAAAAAUAAUUUUUUUAAUAUAAUAAAAAAUUAAUUUUAAACCCGAGCUGAAUAAAAUUCUAAUUUUAGUUAAUGAUACGAACAACAAAUCAAUAUUCUAAGCCCGAGCCCUGCUCAUUUUUUUAAUAAACACCAAAAAUUUAUUUUGAAAAUAAAAAAUAAAAAAAAUAUUUUAAAAAUAUUUUAAAAAUAAAAAAAAUUAAAAAUAAAUAUUUAUUAUAUAUUCAGGCCGGGCCGGGCUAGCCUUGGGCUAAAAAAAUGGUGCCCGAGGCCCGGCCCAUUUUCUAAAUAGGCCUCAUUUUUUGUCCAAACCCAUAUUUUGGGCCUAUAUUUUUACCCGAACCUCUCAUAUUUUGGGCGGACCGUCGGGCCGGACCGGGCCGCCCGGCCAUGAACACCUCUAGGGCAAAGUCACUCAAUGAAUGCAUGGAAAGAAAUAUUGCAACUUGGUGACAGCUUUUGUUGGAGUUAUAUGCUUUUUUUUACAUAGUGGAACUUUCGGUGGAUUUUCAAGUUUCAUGAACUUUAUACCCUAGGCUUUACGUGAAAAAAAUCAUUGGACUUAAAAGUCUACCAAAAGUUUCACUAUAAUAAAUAAAUAAAUAAAUAACAUUGCUACAAGACUACAACAUAAAGUUACAAUAAGAGCUUAUAACUCAACAAAGGCUAUCAAUAAAUAAUCUCAAGCAAGCUAAAGAGAAAUGUUGAGAGUACCACUCAAAUAGUGAUUGACUUUAAAAAUUGAAAACCCGAAGUUAUUGUUGACACCAUUUUUUGGAUGAAAAUGUGUCGACUUGGGUUUUGAAAAUGAAAACGAAAACGAGAGUCGCCACCAAUCCUUUUUGAUAAGGUGUGACUGGGUCACCUUGAAAAGUGGUUGUUUUUAAUAAACGAUUUGAUUUUAUUAAAACAACAGUUUUGGUCCACGAAAUUCAGAAAAAUGAGUUCGGGAGUCGGUUACGCACGAGGAAGGAUUAGCACCCUCGAUACGCCCAAAAUUGGUACCUAGUUGAUUACUUAAUGUCUUAAUGUCGAAAAUUGAAAACUUUGGAGAAUUUUAAACAUACGAUCCUUGUAUUAAAACGUUAAAAAUUUUCAAGAAAAUGGGAUAUUUCACGUUAUUCGAUAAAGAGAAUCAUAUCCUAGUAAGUUAGGACACAAUAUCUCGAAUUUCCGAUAUCAUUUAAAACUUGAGUUUGAAAAGAUUCGUGUAAUAAAGUUUAAAAUAAUAUUCAAUUGUUUAAAUCAAAUGAAGAAAUCGCAACCCAAUACGUUAGGGCACAAUUUCUCAAAAUAUUAAACAUUGAAUAUUGCAUUUAUUUCGAAAAAUCCUCAUCUCGAGAAAACGUGUCACAUCCAAUGCAUUAGAAUACAACGUAUUGAAUUCUCGAUAACGAGCUUUUUCUCAUUUUUUAAAAGAGUAAUCUCGAUUAUUUAGGUUCAACGAAGAAAAUCAAAACCCAAUACGUUAGGGCUCGAUUUUCUCAAAGAUUCCAAAUACCGAGUAUUACUUAUAUUUUUAAAAUUUCUUUUUUGAAAUCCGAGUAAAAAUGAAUGCAAAAUAAUAAAUGAUGACAAUGUAAAUAAAAUGAUACAAGCAAAACAAUAAACAAUAAAAAUAAUCAUACGGGCAAGGUAACAAAUAAUUAGGAACUAAAGAAAGAGAACAAACAAUAAUAAACAUGCAAAUAAAUGAACAAAAUUAACAACAUGAUGCAAAUAUGAAAGAUAUAUAAGCACAUAUAUAUACAUAAAAUAAUGAGAAUAUGAAAAAAUGUGUGUAAUUGGACAUGUUUCGGAAUUAUUAUACAUUUAAAAAUCAUGUAAAUGUGUGUACAUACAUAUAUACAUAUAUAAUAAUCAUUAAAUAUAUAAAAAUACAUAUGUGUAGGUAUAUAUGAGUCAUAAAAUGUAAAGAAUAUAUACAAGAUAUAUUUUGAACGUAUAAAGUAUAUGUAAAUGUAUAUAUAUAAUAAAGGUGUAUGAAAGCAUAUUUUAUAUACGUGUAUUUAUAAAAUGUAUAUAAAUGUAUAUUGAUUUACCAAUACAUAUGGAUUUAUAAUUAUAGAAUAUAUAUAAAAUAUUUACAUAUAUACGUUUAUGCAUAUAUAAAAGUAAGUUAUUAUAAAAUAUGAGCAAGCAGAAUACAUAAAUAUAUAUACAUAAAAUAAAAAUGAAGAUGAAAAUAAUAUAAAACUACUUAAUAUAUUAAUAUAAUAGUAACAAAUUAAAAAAACAGAAAAUAAAGCUAAUAAUAAUUAAUAAUAGUAGUAAUAAUUAUAGCAGCAAUGAUAAUGAUAAUAAUAAUAACACUAAAAAAAUUAAUUAAAUAAUAAAAUUGCUAAAAAGGGAUUAAAUCGAAAUAAAAACAUAAAUACUGGGCGAUUUUGAAAUAAAAAACGGGAAGGACCGAAUUGCAACGCGCGUUGAAAAGGAAAGGGCCAAAACUGCAAAUAAACCACAGCCCCAAAACGCAGCGUUGAAAUGGACCAAGUCGAAAUAAAAAUAAAAUUGCAGGGGCUAAAUUAAAAAUAAGAGAAAAUAACGAAAAAUGAUCAAAUUGUAAUACGCUGCAAAAUCAGGGGGACUGCACGCGCAAAUAGCCCAAAAACUGAAAACACGCGGAUCCUCCGGGUCGGGUCGGGUCGGGUCAGGUCGACGUGCGGAUCCCCUUUGCUAAAACGGCGUCGUUUCAUGUUUAAUAUAAAUACUAAAAAAAGCUAAAAAAAACAGUUUCAUCUUUUUUUAAAAAAAACAGAGAGAAAACUCUCUCUUUUUCCCUCAGGUCCGGCCAUGGUCCGGCUUGGGAUUUCCGACGAGUCUCCGCCGCAAAGCCACCGUGUGUGGCGGCCGGAGGUUCAAAAUCAGACCUUUUUGGUCCUUUUUUAAAGUCCAUGGCCUCCAAGCCACAGAUCCGGGGCUGAAUCUCCUGAAUCGAAAGCCGAAGACCCAAAAAAUGGGGUGAAAUCCUUCGCCUUCCUCCCCCUUCCGGCGCUGCGCAGGUAAGGUUUUUUUUAACUCCUUUUUUACUAUCUUUAUUUAUAUAUAUACAUGAAGAGAAAAGAGAGCAAAAUAAAUAAAUAAAUAAAAACUUCAAAACUGAAGAGAAAAAGACCUUGAAUCUGCCUUAUUUAUUUUCUUUCGGUUGAAUCUGUUUUUGUUUGUUACAAAAGUUUCCAGGGAAGAGAAAAAAAAAGAGAGUUACAUGCUUGGCUUUUAUAGCCGAUAUUAAUUUCUAUUUUUUGUUUUCUUUUUCCUUUCUUUUCUUUGGCUGUUGCGUGUUUGCUUCCUUAUUGCAGGGUGAUUGACGGGAGUGGUUGGCGACAGAGUCGGUGGCCACUUGCACUGAUGAAGCAGCGGUGGCGGCGCUAGGGUAGGCUAGGGACGGCGGCAGUACUAGGGUUUCAGAAAACUGAAACCCUAGUUUGACAAAUUGGUUUCGGGCCUGUUGGGCUUUAAAUUAUGGGCUUUGUAAUUGGGUUUUGGGUUUAGGUGAUUUGGGUUUAGGUGGUAUGGGCCCGGGUCAAAUUUUGGGUAAUGGGAUUGGGGCAAAAUUGGGUUGUACAGUUAUAAUAUCCCAAACGAAAUCAAACUAUAAACAUUAAAUUUUUCGAGUCUUCUAGAUACUGUAAAAAAUUCAGCUCCAACGGACACCAAAUGAACCUAUGAUCGAAGAAAAUACGAAGACUAGUCUGGCUAAAUCAAUCUGCCAAACUUACUUUUUAUCUUAUCUUUAAUUUGCUGUGAAAUUCAAAACUACGUGUAAUACUCAAUUUAUGCUCGACCCAUUUUGUUAAAACAAAUAAAAAAGAAAAGAAAAACAAAAUAUUUAAAUUUAGCCCAAAUGUCCAUUUACACAGCCCAAUUACAAUUGCAAAUAAAAAAAACUAAAACUAAACCCGAUCCUAAGCAUCAGCCCAAAUUCGACCCAUGCCCAAAACGAAUUCAGAUGCAGAAACCCUAGCCCAGCCUUAAUGCAAGCAAAAGUCGAAAGCCCUAAUAGUUGGUGCGCCGCUCCUGUAACAGCCCGAUUUUGGGCCUAGUCGGAACAGUGGUUUUGGGACCACAAAUCCGACGAGAAAAAAAUGUAAUGGCCCGAAUUUUCAGAGGUGUCAGAACGGUGAUUCGAGAUCACUAAAUUCGACAAAUGGGUAGAAAAUAUUAUUAAUUUAGUAAGUAUAAGUUAAAUGUGAAGUUAGGAAAAUUUUUGAAAUGGUGAAUAGUACACUAGAAAUAAAUAUUAAAAUAAUUAGAAUCGAAAAUGAGGUAUCGAGACCUCGGGGAUUUUAAACCGAGCCAUAAAUAUUUUUAUAAAUAUUUAUGUAGUCUUAAAAAGUUAGUAUUAAAGUUUCGUUAAGAAAUUUUAAAGUUCCGAUAAUUAAUUGAACAAAAAGGACUAAAUUGUAACAAAUACAAAAUUAUGAGAAAUGAUUAAAUAGUUUAAAUGAUAAAAGGAAGAGGGCUUAAAAGGUAAAUAGACCCAAGGUCUAUUUGGGCUGCACGGCAAAGGCAUGAAAUCAGCAACAAAGUAAGGAGAAUUAAGGGCAAAAUUGGAAUAUUGCAAAAUUUACUUAAUAAAGUUAGGACCAAAGUGGAAUUAUCUAGAUUUCUCUUUAUUUUUCUGCAUUAUCAUCAGCAUAAACACCAUAGAAGGGUUUUCUUAAGCUGGUUCUUCCUAUUUUUACUGCAGGUAAGUUCAAUUCUUGAUUAUUUCUUGAAAAUUUUGUGUUUUUGUGACUUUUACAACUAGGCCCACUUAUUGUAUUCAUUAGUUUUUGAUUCUAUGAAAGAAGUUGAAAGUUGCUAUGAAUACAUGCUGGAAGUAUAUGAUGAUUUAGCAUGGAAUUAGAGCUUUAAAUUGUUCAUAUGCUGAUUUAUUGAAAGAAUUGAAUAGAAAGUGAAUGUUUGGGACCUAAUAGUAAAAGAGUUUGAAGAUAGAGUUAUAUGUGGAAAUUCUGAAUUUCAAUAGUUGUGAAACAACUUAUAAUGUCUAGGUUAAGUAUUAAUUGAGAAAAUUAAAUUAAUUGAGGGGUUAAUUGAGAAAGGACCGAAUUGUAUAAACUGUGAAAUUUGGGGCAAAAAGGAAAUCAACAUUUUACACUAAAGCAGUUUUGGACAGCAGCAGUAGUAUAACUUUGAAAAAUCACCAAAAAUUUUGAGAAUUGAAUUAGAGGGUGAAUAAAAUAUAAAAUUAAAGCUCCUUGAAUCUAGUUUCUCAUAGAAGAAACGGUGUAAGCAAUGGAAUUGUAAAUCAUGAGAUAUAAUAAAUUUUGUGAGACAAUGUCAUAAUGAUUUCGGGUUCCCCUAUUCUGACUUUGGAAAAUCAUCAAAAAAUUAAGAAAAAUAUGAGUUAUAAUUUAUAUGAUUACAAUCCUUAAUGAGUCUAUUUUCAAAGAAAAUAAACGGAAAUAUCAUCCAAAUUCUGUACAAUUAUAUAAUUCAUUUUUAGUGAAGAGUGGUCGAAACUGUCAGACAGCGAAAUAGGGGGAACUUUAAAGAAUAAACUGUACUAUUUGGCUGAACCAAAAAUUCUGAAAAUUUUAUGGUAAGAAGGUAUGUGAGUCUAGUUUUAAGGAAAAUUAACGGAUCUUAAUUUAGAGCUCUGUAGCUCUAGAUAAAAAUAAUUUAGUGACUCUGACUCAGAUAAAUAGCUUUGAAUGUACAUGUGAGUGAAUAGUGAAAUUAUAGCUAGUGUUGUUUAAGUGUGUUAUACACAUUAAGGAUAUGGAAUGGAGAGGAGGAGGAGGAGGAAAAAUUGGGAAAUAUAUGAAUGAUUUGUGUAUAAUUGGUCAUAUGCUUAAUUAUAAUUGAUAAACGAUGAAAUAGAAAUGAUGCAUAUAUUUGUGCAGUAUUGGUCAUGGUUUAAGCUCAUGUGGGAAAAUAAAGUUUAUAGUACGUGUGUAUUAUAUUUUUGGUAUAUGAUUUGGCAUUAAGUAAUGUCGUGAAUGGAUAUUGAAUUAACACAUGUUGGAAAGUUUGAUAUAUGAAUAAAUAUUGUGAUCAUGAAAGAGUGUUACAGCUCCUGCCUUCAGCACGCGUCGAGCCUCCGCGCCAAAUCCACGUGAGCCUCCGUACACUCCAACUAGCCUCCGUACCUGCAACAAACAAAAGUAGACAAAACAACAGCAAAGGAUAGGAAGAAAAGGCAGUAAAUAGUGAAGAUUUUUCUGUAAUUUUCUUUGGAUUUCAUUAUGUAUUUUCGGCUAUAAAAGAGCCAUUAGGAAUAUUUGUAAAGGGUUUUUUUUUUACCCUCACACACAAAGAGAAUAUACACGCAUACAAGAUCAAUAUAGAGAAAGAAAUAAAAAUAAAUAAAUACAAAGAAUAGAAAAUCAAGUUUCGAAGGUGAUUCUUUGAAAAAUCCUUUUCGUUUUUCUCAUUUUUCCUUUUUCCUGGAUCUUUUGUUCAUUUCAAGUAAAAAAAGUAUAGAAAGGAAACAAGUUUAGAGGAAGGAGGUUUACCUGGACGCCGGACCUCGCUCGCCUCGUCGAAAUCGAAGGCUGAGAGGGGAUAAAUCGGUUUUGCGGCAGAAGGAAAGGGGGGCUAGGGUUCUUGUUUUAACUUUUUUAAAAAAAAUAGAAAAGGUUGCUAAUUAGGUUUUAAUGGGGGAUUUAUGUGUGUUAAAAAAACGACGUCGUUUAGCGACCUUUGACCCGUGCGGUGACCCGACCCGAGGAAAGGAUCUGCGCGUUUUGGGUCUGAUGGGUUUAUUGCGCAACAAGCCCUUCCGCAUUUGUUUUUCGUUUCAAUUCGGUUUUUAUUUGUUUUUUAAUUGUUUUCUCAUAUUUAGUUCCAAUUUCAAUUGGGUCCAUGAUUAAACGACAUCGUUUUCAUUGAUUGGGUUUGAAGGCCUGGUUUUGUGCGUCUAAAUUGCAGCAAUGGUCCCCCUGAUGUGCAAUAGUUCUCGAUUUAGUCGUCUCCACACUUAUUUCAAAGUCGUCCUUGAGAUUUUGUUUUAUUUUUGAAAUUGUCCUUGUCUUCUUUUAAUUUAUAAUGAUAUUAUUAUUAUUGUUGUUGUUAUUAUUACUAUUAAUAUGGGUAUUGUUAUCAUGUUAGUUUAUAUCUAUUUAUUUACUUUUAUUUUAUUAUGUAUUAUUAUAUAAUGCUUUUAUCAUGUAUCAUUUUAUAUAUUUUCUAUGUUAAUCUAAUAUGAUAUAUAUAUAUAUAUGUAUUUUUGUGAUCUUAUUUUAUAAUACUUUUUUAACCCAUUUAUAUGCCUUUAUGUUUUAAAGAUUUAUAAUAUUUUGUGCAAAACUAUUAUAUAUAUAUAUAGAUAUACAAUUUAUAUUAGACCAUUUUUAUCGUACAUAUACGUAUAUAUAAUUUAUAUUUUGAAACUCUAUUUUAUUAUAUUUUAUGCCUCUAUAUACAUCAUUAUAUGUUUAUUAUUCUUUAUAUUAAACCUGCCAUUUCACUUAUAUAUUUUUAAAACCAAUGUGUAUUAUUCUUUCUUCUUUGUUAUUUUUUAUCUCUUAAAAUAGAUUGAUAAUUCAUUUAAUUUUUGAAUGUUGUAUGACCGAGAUUAUCGUUGCCAUUCUUGUCCAAAUUUAUCCAUUGCUUGUUCAUAUUAUUUGAUAAUUUAUCGCUCACUAGCAUGUAUCGUAAUUUACGAAUUAUCAUUUUGAAUUAUGUACUACCAUUCAAUCGCAUUACAUUUGUUUGGAAAACAUCGAAAUCGUUUUGCACAUAAACCUUCAAAAUGCUUGGUAUCCAAAAUUCUCGAGAGGAUUGUGCCCUAAUUUAUUGGGCUUCAAUUCCCCUUUUUGAUUUUAAAUAACCGAAUACCCCUUUUUCAAUUUGAACAUAGAAAUUCCAAAAUAAAAAAAAACUCAUUCUCGGGAAUUUGAUGCGUUGUGUCCUAACGUAUUGUAUAUGACAUAUUUUUCUCGAGACGAGGAUUUUUCUAACAAAUAAAAAUAAAGGCAAUAUUCGAUAUUUAGGAAUUUUGUGAAAUCGAACCCUAACUUACUGGGUUUUGAUUUUUUCAUUUGACCCAAGUAGGAUAUCCUUCACAAAUGCACAGAUUUUAAAAAAUCAAAAGAUAAACUUAAUUUCGAGGAUUUAAAAUGUUACACUCUGACUUACUGAGUGUGUCAAUUUAUUUCUUUGAAAUAAGUGAGUCUUAUCAUCCAAUUUAUUUUAUUCAAAUUUUCUUUUCCAAGGAUCGUAUUUUAAAAUUUUUUCAAAAUUUCGACAUUAAGACAUUAAGCAAUCAAUUCAGUACCAAUUUUGGGCGUCACGAGGGUGCUAACUCUUCCUCGUGCGUAAUCGACUCCCGAACCAGUUUUCUCAAAAUUCACAGACCUAAAAUUAUUUUCAAGGUGAUCCGAUCACACCACAAUAAAAGAUCAGUGGUGACUCCCAUUCCUAUUUUUAAAAGUCGAUUCCUGUUUUUCAUAUAUAAAAAAAUGGUUUCGACACUACGGUUUUGUUUGUUUCCCUUAGAACAACUUUCAAAAAGUUAAUUUUGAAAAAUGGAUUGAAUUUUCAAAAUAGAUGAUAUUUUUUUGUGUUAAAAUUUUAUUCGUUGUUUGAAAAAAAAAUUUAAAUCAUUUUCUUAGAAUUAUUUUUAGUGAAACAAAUAUAUCAUAAAUAUAUUUGUUAUAAAAUAUUAUAUUAAUAUUUUCUUUUAACAAUUAAAAUAUAUUUUGUGAUAAGGUAAUAUUUUAUAAUAAUUAAUAUCAUAUAUACUUAAUAAUAAAUCAUGUCUAAUUAAAAUUUAAUUUCAAUUAAAUAUAUUAAUAAAGCUACAUUUAAUCAUAUUUUAUAUAAUUAAAAUAUUAAUAUAAAUAUUUUUCAAUAAUAUAUUAAAGAAUAUUUAAAAUUUAAAUUUAUUAUUACUAAGAUUAAUUAUUAAAACAAAAAUGUAAUAUUAAAUAAUUUAUCCAAUGAUAAGUUAUAUUAAUAAUUUAUUAUAUUAUUAAAUAUAAAUAAUUAAAUAUGUAUGUUUAAUAAUAUUAUGUUAUAAUAUUUAUUACUAAUAUUUUAAUAUUUUUAAACAACCAUGUUUUAAAGAUGGUGGUGAUGGUGAUGGUGCAGGCCCCCUUGUUAAAAUUACAAUAUUUUUAAGUGGGAUGCAUGUAAUAUAUUGUUAGGGUUUUAGAGUAUGUGGUCUUUAAAAGGGUUAAAUUAUAUAUUUAUAUAAUAUGAUUAUUGUUUAUAAACAUAAUAUUGUAGAUAAGUUUAUAUGUAUGUCAAUAUGUAUCCUACUCUAAGGUUAAUAUGUAUUUUUUAGAUGUGGGUUUACCUAUAUAAUAGUAUGAAUCCAUCAUGUGGUCUCAUGAAAUAUACAAACACAUAUCGUGCGAACACAAAGUACGAACAAUAAAAAAUACAAAUCAAGACCCAAUUGAAUAAUUGAAUAACGGAUAGGUAAUAAUGAAUAUCAUAACAUUUACUAUCCCCUCUUUUCUAGUGAGUUAUUGUUUAUGAUAAAUUUGCAACAAAUGUUUUUAUCAUUAUUUUGUUGGUAAAUGAUAAUAAGAUUAAACAUUACUUUCUUAAGCUCCUUCAAUUCUUUGGACGUUAGCGAGUAAACUUGAGCUUCAGCAUUCCACAAACACCUUAAUUUGAAGACACAGUUCUCUCAUACUAAAAACGACAUGGACGUUUACCUUGUAAUUAGAGAUUUGGGCUCAUUGUUGGGUUAUUAAUGAUACGGGGAUGGAGAGCUUUAAACUGGGUAUGGUUGGCCCCAAAGAGGCUCGAAACGUGCUUGAGACUAGAGGUGAUCAAGGGCCGGGUUAGGCCCAGUCUAGAAAAAAAAUUAGGCCCAUUUUUUAGAUUUGAACUCGGCUCGGCUCAAAAUAUAAGCUUAAAAAUUUGUCUAAGUUCAGUCCGAAAGAAAAUUGUUAAGCCCAAGCUCGACCCAUAUUAAAUUUUACAACACCAAAAAAGUAUAUUUAAAUAAAAAUAAAAUAUAUAUAUUUAAUAUAUAAUUCGGGCCGAGCUGAACUCGGGCCAAAAAAGUUUUACUCGGGGCUGGUCCGUUUUCUAAACAGACUUCGUUUUUUUUGCCAAAAUCCAUAUUUUUACCCGAAUCUUCCUAUUUUUUGGGGUGUGCCGUCGGGCCGAACUGGGUAACCGAACCAAUGAUCACCUCUGUAAUCACUGAAUUUUGUCCGGGAAUAACUUUCGUUAAAAAAAUUUUAAAAUUAAAAAAAAAUUAACUUUUUUGCUUUUUGACCCCUAAACUUUUCUAAAAUUUCAUUUUAACCCCUAAACUUUCUCAAAAUUACAGUUCAACCCCUAAACUUUUCUAAAUUACAUUUUGACCCCUAAAAUUUCUUAAAAUUACAUUUGGACCCUUACACUUUCUCAAAAUUACGUUUCGGCCCCAAAAUUUUUGCUACAUUUACAAAUUGGUCCUUCUGUCAGAAAAUCCCCAAUAAUCCGGCGGAUUUCGUGCACCUGCCCCACUAUUUCCGGCAGCCGGCCUAGGGCAUGGCCUUCCCCACCUGCUACCUGCAAACAAGAAGCAAAAUCAACUAUAAAAAGGAGUUUAAACUCCAAAAAUCGGACCCCCACCCACGAAAAAAAUAAAAAAAAAAAACUUGAAAGAAAAAGAAAAAAGCUUUGAGAAAGAAAAAGAAAAGGAAAAGAAGAGAGGGGAGAAGGAGAGGCCGACCAUCGGCGAGCCACCGGAGGAGGCGACGGCAGCAGCGGCAUCGACGGCGGCGUAGAAGACCGAACGGAGAAGAAGAAGAAGAAGAAAAAAAAAGAAAGAAGAGAAAGAAAGAAGGAAGAAGAAGAAGAAAGAAACAAAAAAAAAAGAAAAUAUUUUGUAAUAGUCGGCCCGGCCCGACUCGACCUGCACGACCCGUGACCCGACCCGACAGCACCAGCAACCUAGCAGGCCACGGUAGCAGCCCGGCGGCCCAAAGAGUAGCCCAAAAAGAAAAAAAGAAGAAGAACAAAGCAAAAAAAAAAAGCAGGCCAUUUUCAGCAGGCCCAGUGCAGCCCAGCAGACCCAGCGAACCCAGCAGGCCAGGCCCACACGCAAGCAGCCCAACAGAAAAAAAGGGAAAGAAAAAGAAAAGAAAAAAGAAAAAAGAAAAAAGAAGAAGAAGGGGUUCAAUUUGUAUUAUCCGUUCGGCGAAGCUCGUGUUUUGAGGAUUUUUUUUCGGUAAUUUUAUUUUUUAAUUUUAAUUUAAUGCUCGUAUUUUUUUUAAAUAUUAUUAGUAUUUUAUGCAUUUUUAUAUUUUGGCAUUUAUAUUUUUAAUUUAAUUUACUUCAAUUUUUAUUUUAUUUUAUUUUAAAUAAUUUUAAUAAAUGAGGCAACGAAUCGAUUUAACAUAAAAUCGUUGAUUUCAUUGCUAUGUUGGGUGAAUAUCAUCGGUUUGUGUUAAACACGAUACACCCUUUUUAAAAAAAAGAAAAAAAUCGAAAAAAUUCUAAAAUUCUCAUUUUUUUAAAAUUCUCGUGUUUUAAUAGAAUCACGAUUAAAUAUUAAGUUGAAUCGAUUUGGCACUAAUUCGAUGAUUUCAUCUCCAUGUAGGGAUGAAUAUCAUUUAUUCGUGUUAAAUAUGGUACUUCUGAAAAAAAAUCGGGUUUCAAAAAUUUUCGUGUUUUCAAAAAUUCUCAUGUUUCAAAAAUCUUCGUGUUUUAAAAAUUCCAGUGUUUCAAAAAUUUUCGUGUUUUCAAAAAAAAAUUUCUCGUGUUUUUAAAAAUUCCCGUAUAUCGAAAUUUUCUUGUUUUCAAAAAAAAAAUUCCAUGUUUCAUAAAUUUCCGUGUUUUCAAAAAAAAAUUCUUGUUUUUCAAAAAUUUUCGUUUUUAAAAAAUUUGACCGUGUUUCAUAAAUUUUCGUAUUUCAAAAAAACCUCGUGUUUCAAAAUUUUCGGGUUUUUUUAAAAACAAUUCGUGUUUCUAAAAUUCUCGUAUUUUAAAAAAAAUCGUGUUUUCAAAAAAAGAAAAAGUUGUUGUGCUUUAAAAUUAUCGUGUUUCAAUCGGAUCACGAUUAAUAUUAAAUUGAACUCGUAUUUUUGAAAAUGAAAACAACGCGCGUUUAACGAGAUACCAAUUUUGGGCGUCGCGAGGGUGCUAAUACCUUCCUCGCGCGUAACCGACUCCCGAACCUUAAUUUUCUCUGAAUUUUUACGUGGACCUAAAAUUACCUCUUUUUAGAAAAGUUUAAAAAUGAAUUUUUCUUCUAAAAAGAGAAUUUUGUAGGUGUCCGAUCACACCUAAAAAAAGAUCGGUGGCGACUCCUUUUUUUCAAAUAAAAUCGAGAUUCAGUUUUCAAGUUUUUAAUAAUUACUUCGACAAGCGCCCGUGCGCAAAAUUUUUAAGUCGCUACAGCCUCUACUUGAGACAACAGGGUUUUGCAGGGAAUUCUUACAGGUUCGUUUCUGGCGACAAAAAAGAGCUCUUCACUAUAAGCAUACAAACAAGAGCCAAAACUAUGCCUCUUAGUGAUGAUAUUAGGCCUUAUGUUAUUCCUUUUCAACAUCAAACCGUCAACCGGUAUGGUAUGUUUUUUUUAUUUAAUCUGCAAUUUGUGAUAAUUCUUUGUUAUUUAUGUAUGGAAUUUAUUGGGAGGAAAUGCUGGAAAGAAUUCAUUUACGAGAAUUGGUCCAAGAUCAAGGGUGAACAUUACGGACCCUGAAAAAUAAGAGAAAUACUUAACAAAUUUAAUGACUUCCAGAAGAUACGUACCAAUCCACUGCUUAAUUUGCUUGUAAGCGGCCUUGUUAACCUCGAAGGAGACCGAUGGAGCAAGCAUAGAAAAAUCAUAACCCUUGCAUUUCAUCAAGAUAAGUUGAAGGUAUAGAAUAGUAAUGGGUACUCAAGACUUUAAAGAAAACAUCAUACUUAAGCCUAUGCUUUUCUGAUUUAGAAAUAAUUGGAUGCAGAAUAUGUUGCCAGCAUUUUAUCAAAGUUGUAGUGACAUGUUUAAGCAAAUGGGAGAAGAUGGUGUGUACAGAAGGAUACAUUGAGUUAGAUGUGUCGCCUUAUCUCGUAGAUUUGACAAGAGAUGUUAUUUCCCGAUCUGCUUUUGGAAGCAGCUUCGAAGAAGGCAAACGAAUUUUCCAAUUACUAGAGGACCAACUCGUUCUCACAAUCAAAUUAAUACAAACUGUUUACAUUCCAGGAUGGAGGUAACCGUCUACUUUAAUUUACUUGAAAAAGGUUGCAAAUGUUGGAAUUGGCUAAAUUCGUGUUUGUUUUCUUGAAGGUUUUUGCCCACAAAGACAAACAGGGAGGUGAAGAUGAAACACAAAGACAUAAAAGAGUCGCUCAGGGAAAUGAUAAAAAGAAGAAAGCAGGCAAUUAAAGCAGGGGAAGAGAGUAAUGAGGACUUGUUGGACAUACUUGUGGAAUCCAAUAUCAGAGAAAUGGAAGCAAAGAAUAUGGGGAUGAGCAUUGAGGAUGUGAUUGAGGAAUGCAAGCUGUUUUACUUAGCUGGCCAGGAGACCACUUCGGUCUUACUGGUGUGGACUAUGGUUUUAUUAGCAAGGUAUCCCGAUUGGCAAAGUAAAGCAAGAGAGGAGGUUUUGCAUGUUUUGGGUGACAGUAAACCUGAUGCUGAUGGCCUUAAUCGUCUCAAAGUUGUAAGUCCCUAGCAUGUCUCUUGAAGGCCCGAUCUCUGAGGUCGACAACUCAAAAACUUGGUUCUUUGUUUCGCUAAUUCUACAGUUAACAAUGAUAUUGUACGAGGUUCUAAGGCUGUACCCACCAGUGAUUGAGCUAGGACGUUCCGUUCCAAAAGAAAUAAAACUGGGAAAUUUGUUGUUACCAGCAGGAACAGACGUUUCGGUUCCAAUCCUGCAGAUCCACCAUGACAAAGAUCUUUGGGGCGACGCCGCACGGGAAUUUAAGCCACAGCGGUUCACGGAAGGGGUUUCCUAAGCAACAAAGAGUCAAGUCACGUUUCUGCCAUUCGGAUGGGGUCCUAGGAUCUGCAUUGGCCAAAACUUUGCCAUGAUGGAAGCUAAAAUGGCGAUGGCUAUGAUUCUCCAACGCUUCUGGUUUGAGCUUUCCCCUUCCUAUGCUUACUCUCCUUACAACAUGGCAACUCUUCGUCCACAGCAUGGUGCACAGAUAAUUUUACAUAAACUUGGCUGUAAUUGAAUUGUUAUGUAAGCAAAUCUUUGUGAAAAUAUAGUGUUUUAGUGUAUCGUCAACGUCUGUCUGUAAUGGUACAAUUCCGAUGCAUGAAUAGUAAAUUUUGAGAUGUUUGGUGAAGUCCGAAAUAAUAUGCAGAAAUUGAGUGUCUAUGGUGGACAUAGUUGAGGGACUAAUGUGGUAAUUAUCAAUCAAAUAAUUCGGUACAAAGACUUAUAUGGAAAUUAAAGCAGGGGGAGUUGAAAAUGACUACUCUGCUUUGGGCAUCAAUUUAGAAAGAUUUAAAGUACAAAUGUGUUAUUAGUUAAGGGAUUUGUUUUAAAGAGGGAAUGACAAUUAAACCUCAUGGUUGAUUUGUGGAAGGGAACCAAUGAUGGGAUGAUUACUCUUAGUGGUGAAAAAAAAACUAUUAAGGUGGUUAUUAUAGUUGUUAUCACCAGCCUAAAAUUUGAAUAGGUUCAGGUCGGAUUAUAUUGAGCUUGCAAGAUUAGUUCACGGACCAAACUUGCAUGAUAAUAGGUAUUCACAACAAGAUAUCUAUAGUUUCCAACAAAGUCACAUGUGAGAUCGUGCAUUAGAACCGCAUAAACAUGUUUUAUGUUUAGAAUAUGAUAUGUGUCUAUGUGUAUAGAAUCUACCUAAUAUAUCAUAUUAAUGAAUAGUAUCAAUUGCGGAGCCAAAAAAUUAUUUGUGAGGGGUCAGAAUUAAAUUGUAUAUUUUUACAAAAAUAAAAAUUAAAUUUCACUAUUUUAAUAGUUUAUUUAUUUUUAAUUUUUAAAUGAUUAAAUUAAAUUUUAUAAAUUUUUAGGAUCAAAGUAUAAUUUUAUCAUUACUAAUUUAAAAUUUUAUAAAUUAUAAAAAGUUUAUAUGAAAAGUUUUCUAUUUUAGGGUGGCCAAAGCCCCUGUCAACUUCUGACUCGAUCACUUGCGGUUAGUUGGGUAAAGACUCAAGAAAAAUAGCGGUGUGUUUGGAUGGACGGUGCGUUUACUUGCGGUUAGUGUAAAAAUAGCGGUGGCGGUGAGAUUAGAUACUAUAGCAACACUGUAGCGUGAGACAAAAAGUAAGUUAAACGCACUGCACUGCACUUAAUCGUCUAUCUAAACUCACCAUAAGUGUCUAAAAUAUGAUUUAAGUGAAGAUACGUGGGGUAGGUGUCAUGGAAAUGUAAAAAAAAAAAAGAAUCCUACUAAUGUAUGGGAUGUGUACAAUUGAAUGCAGGAGUGAAUCAUUUGGGUAACAUUUGGACAAGAAACAUAAUGAACAAAAUGAAAGGAGAGGAAGCUAGUAAUAAAAGAUUCUUUUGGGUUAUAUAAUUUGUUUGGCAUAUAUUUUUAUAAUAUUUAAAUAUCAUUUUGGAGUUGUUGAAUUAUAAUUUAUUUUUAUGUUUUAAAACAUAAUUAUUCUAUUUUUAGAGGUCAGAGUAGAGGUGAGCAUGAGUCGGGCUACUCGGCUCGGGCUGAAGGCUUGCGCAAAAUGUGAGAGAUUUGGGUAAAAAUAUAGGCCCGAAAAAUGAGUUUAGACAAAAAAAAAUAUAAGGCCCGUUGAAAAAACAGGCUAGGCCUUGGGUAAGGCAUUUUGGCCCCAGACCCGGCCCAACCCAAAUUCACUAAGGGCACGUUUGGUUCGCUGUAUUGGAAUAGAGGCGUAAUGUAAUAGAGGCGUAAUGGAAUAGAGACGUAAUAGCAAAUCAAUUGUUUGGUUGAAUGUAAUGGAAUAGAGGCGUAAUAGUAUUCUUAUAUUUGGUUGAAUGGAAUAGAGUUGUAAUAGCAUAAGGAAAAAAGUUAAAAUGACUAGAAUACCCUUAGCAGAAAUUUGUUUAGAUAAAUGAUUAUUGUUAUUGUUAUUAAAUUUUAAUAAGAUUAUUAAUAUCAGUAAUAAAUAAUUUAAUCAUAUUUUAACAUAAUUAUUAUUAAAUAUAAUUUAAUAAAAAUAUAUAAUUUAAUAAAAUUCUUAAUAUUAAAUAUUCUUAAUAUUAAAUUACUAAAAUCAUAAUAUAUAAUACUAUAAAAUAUAAUUUAACAUAAUUAUUAUUAAAUAUAAUUUAAUAAAAUUCUCAAUAUUAAAUAUAUUCUUAUAUGAAUUUACUAAAAUCAUAAUAUAUAAUACUAUAAAAUAUAAUUUAAAAUAAUUAUUAUUAAAUAUAAUUUAAUAAAAAUAUAUAAUUUAAUCUAAAGUUUGAAUGUGUAUUUACCUAGCAAAAAUCAAUGAACUCUCGUGUAACUAUAACCUUAAUAAUAUAUGAUGUAUAAUUAAUAUUUCGUGACUAAUUAAUAGCAUAGAGAUAAAUAUAGUAAUGACGAAUUUAUAGUAUACGAUUAAAAUGCUAAUAAUUUAUAGUAUACAAUUAAAAUAUUAUAAAUAAAAUAAUAGUAAAUGAUAUAUAAGAUAAAUUAACAUAUAAAUAAUUCAGAUAUGUAAAGGAUAUGGCUGAAUAUGGUUGCUCCAAUAAUAAAGGAUAUAUAAUAUAUCAUGGUGUUGUUUUGUUUAGAUAGUUCGGUAACUUAGGAGGGUAUGUAUGAAGAACACAAGUUGAUGCAGAUAGAAAGACGACAAUAUUACAUGAUUACAAUAUGAUAUAGUAUAUAUAUAUAAUUUAUGGAUUCCUUGCAAUCACGUGGGUUCUCUAGCCAUUUUAUUUAGCAUAUCCAGUGAUAUUAAGAUCCAGAAUUAUAAUACAACUAAAAUCUGUGCACACUUAUGGAUGAUCCAACAAAGCCUCAGUUGGCUUUAGGUUCCAAAUCUUGCAACCCACAAACCAUAUUUGCUGGCACUGCAACAUCAAUCAUCUUAGGAUAUGCCAAGUUAAGAUCUGUUGCACCAACAAAAACAGAGGAGAAAUUGGAAGGCGAUCCGAAAAAACCCAAGGAUGCUUUUUCUUUUCUUUUUUUUUUAUAAUCUUUAUAGACUGGUUAUAUUGAGCAUCAACUUACUUUCCAUGAUGUUUUUGAAAGUCUCUUACAAAAAGGGUAUUCAACAAAUAAUAUAAUCAGACAUAUUGAUAGGACAAAUUGAAACUAGUAUUCUAUGAUCAUAAUAAAGAGUAAUCUUUAAUCAAAUGCGUGAAGGUAUUGAGAUGUCAUGCUUUUUCAUGAUUUCCUGUUUUACCAUGGCGAUGUUCAUUGGAAUAGUCCCAUCCAAGAGAAUCAAACCAAUGCUCAGCAAGAAAUGUUCAAUGCAUAUGUAAUUUUAAUUACAGAAGUUAUAUGCAGCUUAUAUGAGUUCAAGAUCAUAAAAUACUUCAUGGACAAAAGGAAACCCUUUCUUAUCACUGAAAUGAAAAUAGGCACUCUUAAUUUUCUAUUGUCAAAAGUAGCAAGCCAUUUUCCAAAGAAAAGGGAAGAUGGAUGGUUCCAGAAAGAAUACCUCAUCCUUUGUCAAGUGUGGAUUAUAUAGCAUCUCCUCUCCCACAGUGGUUACCUAUAAUCAAUGAGGUUUAUAAAAUCGAGCAAUCAUUUAUAUAUGUAAGAAAUGAUAGGAAUAAAGUUUUAUAUCUUACUGAGAAUCCUUUGUAGUCAUGAGCUGGAUAUAGCAAUGUCUCUUUCGGUAAUGUAAAAAUCUGGAUCCAUGAAACAAAUAAGUCCAUAAAUUUUAUUCAAAUUUUGACAAUUACAAUAAAAUUUUGAGAACUCAAAGAAUGUGACCAUAAAAAGUCCCCUGUCCUUACCUGUGAAUGCACUGACUUGUAGAGUUGCUGUGAACUUCCACCCUGCAAAAUGCAUUAAUCAGUGCUAGUCAAUGGCUACUGAAUGUGGGAGCAUUAGAGAAAAUUAUCUUAAAAACUUAAGUAUAACAAAAUUAGACAAUGACAUCCAGAUGGAAAGAAAUUGCCAGCAUAUAAGACCAGCAUUUAUGUACUCACGACUGAAAAUCCUUUGCAAAAAGUAUAGCCCUGAUAGUUCAAACUUUUACUUCAAGGAUGAUUUAAUUACUGAUUAGUUUGCCAUGAGGCUUGUGAAUGACAAACACUUUAUGUGCAACCACAGUAACAAGGUAAGCACCAAUAAGUAGAAGACUAGACGAAUAGGUAACCAAGAGUUAGAGCUAAAACAGACAAACAGAGCUACUAUCCAAUGAGCUAAAACAUACAAACAGAGGUAUAUUUUAAUAAUGAAAAUAAUCGAUUGCCUUAAACACCAUAUAGUGUUCCAAUCAAUCAAAUUAUAGCAGGCAUUAAAACCUUUCCCUUUCGUUAAUUCACAACUAUUAGCUUCAUUAAUCAAAUCCUAUGUACAGUUGAUCGAUUGAAAGUGUAACAUUUCAAAGACGAAAUUUAAACGCAAAACUGGUUAACAUUGAAAUUACAUGUAAAUAUAACCUAAAAAAUCAAAAAAUUAAUCAUAUUUUCAGAUUUCAGGCCGAAAUGGAAUGAAAUGAAAGGUAAAUCCAUUUUUUCCCCAAAAAAACAAAAAUAAAGAAAUAAUAUUUCAAGAACAGAUCAUUAAAUUCAUGGUAUAUAUAAAGAAAUUUAAUUGAAAUCAAAGGAAUAGAAGAAGGGAAAAGCGUACUUGGAACCAUUGCUGCUACUCUCUGUUACUCUGUUACCUCAUACGAUUCGUUAAAGGGUUGUUAGGGUUUGUUAAAAGGUUGGUCAGGAUAGAAGCAUGAAAAGGAGGGAGAAGGUUGGAAGGAAAUGGGAAGAAAAAUGAAAAAAAGAAGAAGAUGCUGCAACGGCUUGGAGGGUAAAAGAGGACCGAUUAGGUAAUCCUUUCUUUUGGAAGGGAUUACAAAUCGGCGCUGCAUAAGGGAAAAUGGGGAAUCAGUGCGCUGCGUAAUAGGCCCGUAUUAAGGCAAUACAGCCAACCAAACAUGGUAAUCAGUGGGGCCACGAAUUAGGGGUGUAUUGGCUAAUCCAAUACACCCAACCAAACAUGCUCUAAAGGACAAAAAAAUUUGAUUUUUUAAAUAUUAUUUUCUCUCUAUUUUGCUAUCAUUUUACUAUUAUGUUGCUACUAUGUUAUUGUUAUUUUUGAAUAUUGUAUAAAACUUAUUUUAUUGUUAAUUUUGUUAUUAUUUUAAAGACAUUUGUUAAUUUUGUUAUUAUUUUAGAGACAUUUGUUUGUUAAGUUGCAUCUAUCUUAGUGUUAUUUAAGUAUACAUAUUUUUUAAAAUUUAUUUUCAAUUUAUUGGGAAAUAUUUAUUUUGAUGUUUUUAGUAUUUUGGAUGUAUUAUAUAUAUUAAAAUUAUAUAAAAAUUAAUAUGGCCGAGCCAGGUCAGGCCCAGAUUUUAGCAUUUUUAUUCAGGUCGGGCUUGAGCAAAAUUUUAAGCCCAUUUUUUGGGCCAAACCAGGCCUGGGCUUAGCAAAUGGGCCUAAAUUUUUAGUCAAGCUCGACCUAAACCCGAUCCGGCCCAUGCUCACCUCUAGAUCAGAGCUGCCCUCGCUUUGCAUUUCUUUGAGAUUCAGUCUUAUCUACUGUUGAUUGCCCACUCAAUGGAGGGUUGAGUAGAAAGAUUUGGUGAAGCAAGCUAAGCUAUCAAUCAAGGUUGGAGAAAGCUUAGGAGGUCACAAUGCAUAAUUAUUUAAAUGUAAUUCUAAUAUUUAAAUAAAAUUUAUUAAUAUAGUAUUAACAAGCCCUAAAUGUAAUGAUUAUAUACUAUUACAUUUUUAAGAAGAGAAAACAUGUUUGAACCUUAAAAACAUCAUUAUUAAAAAUGAUAAUUACAAAUUUUAAAAUAUAAAAAAUAUAAUUAAAAAUUAAUUUUAAACCCGAGCUGGAUAAAAUUCUAAUUUUAGAUAACGAUACUAAUAAGAAAUCAAUAUUAAAAUGAAAAUGAAAAGUAAUUUAAUAUAAUUUUUGAGUCUUGGGCAAAGGCACUCAAUGAAUGCUUGGAAAGAAAUAAUGCAACUUGGUGAUAGCUUUUGUUGGAGUAAUAUGCUCUUAUUAUAGUUUUAUGUUUUUAUCUUGCAAAAACAACAUAUUGGAGUUUUCGGCAUGAUUUUUUCUUAAUACUUUACAUGAAAAAUAAUAAUGGGACUUAAAUUGCUACAAUAUUACAACACAAAGUUACAAUAAGAGCUUAUAACUCAACAAAGGCUAUCAAUAAAUAAUCUCAGGCAAGCUAAAGAGAAAUGUUGAGAAUACCACCCGAAUAGUGACUGACUUUAAAAGUUGAAAACCCGAAGCUAUAUUAUCUCAAACGAAAUCAAACCAUAAACAUUAAAAUUUUCAAGUCUACUAGUUACUGUAAAAAAUUCAGCUCCAACAGACACCAAAUGAGCCUUUGAUCGAAGAAAGUACGAAAAAUAGUCUAGGUAAACCAAGCUUCCAAACUUACUUAUCUUAUCUUUAAUUUGCAGUGAAAUUCAAAAUUAAGAUUUUGUUUAUUUCACUUGGAACAACUUUCAAAAAAUUAUUUUUGAAAAAUGAAUUGGUUUUUCGAAAUAGAUGAUAUUUUAUUGUGUCAAAAUUUUAUUCAUUGUAGGAAAACUUUUUUUAAAUCAUUUUCUUAGAGUUAUUUUUAGUUAAAUAAACAUAACAUAAAUAUAUUUGUUACAAAAAAUUAUACUAGUAUUUUCUUUUGACAAUUAAAAUUUAUUUUAUGGUAAGACAAUAUUUUAUAAUAAUUAAUAUCAUAUAUAUACGUAAUAAAAAUCAUGUUUAAUUAAAAUUUAAUUAAAAUUAGAUGUAUUAAUAAAGCUACUCCUCCACAACCCGCAUCCGCAACAGCACCAGCACCAGCACCAGCACCAGCAUCAGCACCAUGGGACAACUAUUGGGUUUCCUCCACCUGCCUCUAUCGCUCCUCCUCAGUAUUACCCCCAAGCCUACCAGACCGUGCCGGGUAUUCUACAAAUAUGAAAAAACCUUCUUCUCUUUUUAUUAGCUUAUCGAAAUGAAGGAUUUUGAGAUUUGGGCUUUUGUUAGAUGGAUGGUUAAUGAUAUUUUUUAGAUGAAAGAUACAAGUUUUUUAAUGUUUUAGAAGAAAAGGUGUUUAAAUAUUAGGAGUUUUUUAGCAGAGAAAGAAGAUAAAUAAAUGCAUAGAGAUACAUUAGCAAUAUUAUUUGGAUUUGGUUGUCUAAUGUAAUGAAGAAUUUUUUAAGGGUGACCUGAGUAGGUGUGGCAAGAUUCAAAGUUUUUUCUAUUAUAGCAGAUAUAUAUAUAUUAAUGGUUUAAGAAGACUAGAAGUCGGUUUCAAAGGAAGAUGAGAAAUAAAAGCAUUUAUAUAUAUGAUAUGUCAUUAAUUCAUAAACCAAAUAUAUAAAGUAUGUAAAAGUGUCAGGGGUUAAUCAUGGUGUUUUGACAAUCCGGUAACCUUCAACUUGAAGAAAACCUUAGGUUUCAAAAAUUUAUGUGAAGAGUUAGAAUGGUAUGCUUCAUGGAUCUGAAUAACUAGAACAGUGUAAGAGUGGUAUAUUGUGUCAAGUUUGGUUUCUUGUAUAUAAUUGUAUCGAAAACAAUGUUACAUGAGUUAAAAUGAAUGUUCAUCCAAUUUAACAAAGCCUGCAUUAUGUUGAUCAAAAUUUUUAAUUCAUGUUGAGGUUUCUUCCGUGAUAUCUUUGAUGUCAAGGUUAUGAUGUUGCUGAAGGGACACCUGUAAGAGAUAAGCCACCGUGCUGUGGCAUUGGAUUCGGAUGGUUCUUGUAAGUGUACAUAGUUUUCUUUGUUUUUAAAGAGUUCUUUACAUAUGAAGUAAAACAAGUAGCGACUUGAUGGAUAUGUCAUUAAGCUUUAACUUAAGCAAAUCAUUUUCCUUCAUCUCUAAUUGCCAUUUCUUUAAAAGAAAAAGAGGAAGUUUUGUAGUUUACAGUUUGGACAAAUGGAAGUUAAUAUAAUGCACUAUUUGGAUGGACUAUGGAGAUAUCCAAUCAUAUUGGAUGAGUUAUAAGAAACCUGUGAGUUCAUAUUGGGUUUACUUUAUAUCAUAAUUAGAUUGUUGAGCUGGCUGUCAUACUUAGAUGGUAUUUCACGUUGCUACUUGUUAAACUAUACCACUUUCACAUUCAUACGUGAAAUGGCUGGGAUUUAGUGCCAUUCUACUUAGCAGCCUCGUGUAAUACACAGGUGAAAUGUUUAUGUCUUCAUGUCACCUUAAAGUUCCCAUUUCCAUGACGGUAUUGUUAAGUAAAGACUGGUACAUACCCCAAAAUACGGAAAUUGUUUUGGAUGUAUACUAUACUUUACCAUGCAUGAUUUUUUACAAGUUUGCAUGGUAUUUUAUCAUUAUAUUGGUCUUUAUUUUCUAUACUCGCAGCUUCCAUUAAUAUAUUUUUAUGAAUUUUAUCAUUAUGCUGGUUUGAAGGUUCAUCAUUGGUUUCUUCAUUGGGGGCCAUCCCUGGUAUAUUGGAUUCUUUGUUUUACUUUGUGCAAGGAUAGACGACAGAGAGAAAGCAGGAUAUAUUGCAUGCACAAUUGCCGUGAGUAUCUUUUCUAUCAUUAUUUUUUUCUUUUCCAAUUUUAUGAAAGCCAUCCUUCCUGCCUUGUAUUGAUCAUCAAUUUAACCAUUAUAUAUAUGUAUCUUAUGUAUUUGUACCAUGCUUUAUCUUCAAUGCAAAUAUAAGUUAAACUACAAAGAUUGGAUUGUUAAAAAAAGUUUAAAAUGUUAAAAAAAUUGAAAAUUUUGAUUUUGUAAGAAUGAUAGAAAACCAAGGCCAGUGCUUGCAUAUGUUAUCUACUACAUGCACAAUCGGGUCGAUGUCUGUAUAUGUUUCAUGUUUAGAAAUCGUGUUCAAUUGGGUUACGAUAUGUACAAUUGAAGUGUCAAUUUAUAAUUUCCUUAUCAAGAUUACACAUUUUUUUGUUAAUAUUCGGAAUCACUCAAUGGUUAUAAACCCUGAUUGGAUACUGUCCACAAAGUCUAGUUGGAACAUCCCUUGUAUUCUUUGUCCUUUCUAAGAACUUUCCUUUCCAUCAUUCUCGCUUCUGUUUUUUUUUUCUUCCCUCUACUUUAAGUCAUUAUCUAACGUAGAUAUCCCUUGUAUUCUUUGUCCUUUCUAUGGCAAUCGAGUCAAUUGAUGGCAAGCCAAAAAAACAAAAAGAGCAGCUAUCCUGUCUUACUCGAUUGCCAUCCCUCCUGUUAAACACCAUUAAGAAAAGGAAAAUUUUAGUUAAGCUUUAAAACAGCCAUGUUUUAACGAUGUUGGUGAUGGUGCUUGUGCAGGCCCUUCUUGCUACAAUUACAAUUAUUCUUAGUGCAACAAUUAAAGCUGGUGGGUGAUAAAGCACACCUCUUUUGACUGAGAGAUGUAUAGGUUCCCAAAUAAUAUGUAUAUGCUCCCCCCCCUCCCUUUAUUUUAUUUUAUUUCCAGUAAGUUAUUGUUUAUGAUAAUUUGCAACAAAUGUUUUUGUCAUUAUUUUGUUGGUGAAUGAUAAUAAGAUUAAGCUUUACUUUCUUAAGCUCCAAUUCCUUGGACGUUGGUGAUUUUUUUAUUAUAGUUGAGUCAUUGUAUGGUAUUAAUAUAAUUUAUGUCGCUUAAAAUUUAUAACUAAAAAUAUAAAAUUUAAAUUUUACUUCAAUUUAUUUGUAUUUAUAAAUGGUUAAUUCAAACUUAUUUUUUUCCUCAUUAUAUUUUAUAUUUAAAUUAACAUUUAAACUAUUUUUCAUUAGCAAUGUUGUUAAGAAUUAUAUUUUUUAGCACCAACAUCAAACUUACUAAAAUUAAAUUUUUAACUAUUUAAAAAAAAUAUUUUUAGCUAUUUAUCAUCAUAGAGAAAAAAAGGUGACGUCACCACGCCUCAUGCUUCGACACCACAAACUAGACUCUCAUCACCCGUAUUUAUCAUCGAUUCAAAUUCCAGAACUACCUAAAAAUAUAUCUUCAAACUUCCUCUGGUUAAGUUCAUUGAUAGUCAACUUACUAUCAUUUCUAAAAAAAAAACAAAUAAAUUGGUUAAUAGUAAUCUCAAUGAUUCAAUUUUAUUCUUACCAGUAUCUGUCCUUUAGAAAGGGGCUUAUAAAAGGGGUAGAGGUGAGUAAACUUGAGCUUCAGCUUUCCACAAACACCUUAAUUUGAAGACACAGUUCUCUCAUACUAAAAAAGACAUGGAAGUUUACCUUGUAAUUAGAGAUUUGGUUUCAUUGCUUGUUGUUGGGUUAUUAAUGAUAUGGGGAUGCAGAACUUUAAACUGGGUAUGGCUGGCCCCAAAAAGGCUCGAAAGCUGCUUGAGACAACAGGGUUUUGCAGGGAAUCCUUACAGGUUCCUUUCUGGUGACAUAAAAGAGCUCUCAACUAUGAGCAGACAAACAAGAGCCAAACCUAUGCCUCUUAGUGAUGAUAUUGGGCCUUAUGUUGUUCCUUUUCAACAUCAAACUGCUAACCAGUAUGGUAUGUUUUUUUUGUUUAAUCUGCAAUUUAUGAUAAUUCUUUGUUAUUUAUGUAUGGAAUUUAUUGGGAGGAAAUGCAGGAAAGAAUUCAUUUACGUGGUUUGGUCCAAGACCAAGGGUGAACAUUACGGACCCUGAAAAAAUAAGAGAAAUACUUAACAAAUUUAAUGACUUCCAGAAGAUACAUACCAAUCCACUGCUUAAUUUGCUUGUAAGCGGCCUUGCUAACCUCGACGGAGACCGAUGGAGCAAGCGUAGAAAAAUCAUAAACCCUGCAUUUCAUCAAGAUAAGUUGAAGGUAUAGAAUAGUGAUGGGUAAUCAGACUUUACAGAAAACAUCAUACUUAAACCUAUGCUUUUCUGAUUUAGAAAUAAUUGGAUGCAGAAUAUGUUGCCAGCAUUUUAUCAAAGUUGUAGUGACAUGUUAAGCAAAUGGGAGAAGAUGGUGUGUACAAAAGGAUACAGUGAGUUAGAUGUGUGGCCUUAUCUCGUAGAUUUGACAAGAGAUGUGAUUUCCCGAUCUGCUUUUGGAAGCAGCUUCGAAGAAGGCAAACGAAUUUUCCAAUUACUAGAGGACCAACUCGUUCACAUAAUCAAAUUAAUACAAACUGUUUACAUUCCAGGAUGGAGGUAACCGUCAACUUAAUUUACUUGAAAAAGGUUGCAAAUGUUGGAAUUCGCUAAAUUCGUGUUUGUUUUCUUGAAGGUUUUUGCCAACGAAGACAAACAGGGAGAUGAAGAUGAAACACAGGGACAUAAAAGAGUUGCUUAUGGAAAUGAUAAAGAGAAGGGAGAAGGCAAUUAAAGCAGGGGAAGAGAGCAAUGAGGACUUGUUGGACAUACUUGUGGAAUCCAAUAUCAGAGAAAUGGAAGCAAAGAAUAUUGGGAUGAGCAUUGAGGAUGUGAUUGAGGAAUGCAAGCUGUUUUACUUAGCUGGCCAAGAGACCACUUCGGUCUUACUGGUGUGGACUAUGGUUUUAUUAGCAAGGUAUCCCGAUUGGCAAAGUAAAGCAAGAGAGGAGGUUUUGCAUGUUUUGGGUGACAGUAAACCUGACGCUGAUGGCCUUAAUCGUCUCAAAGUUGUAAGUCCCUAGCAUGUCUUUUGAAGGUCCGAUCAAUGAGGUCGACAACUCAAAAACUUUGUUUCUUUUUUCGCUAAUUCUACAGGUAACAAUGAUAUUGUACGAGGUUCUAAGGCUGUACCCACCGGUGGUUGAGCUAGAACGUUCCGUUCCAAAAGAAAUAAAACUGGGGAAUUUGUUGUUACCAGUAGGAACAGAAGUUUCGGUUCCGAUCCUGCUGAUCCACCAUGACAAAGAUCUUUGGGGCGAUGACGCACGGGAAUUUAAGCCAGAGCGGUUCGCGGAAGGGGUUUCCAAAGCAACAAAGAGUCAAGUCACGUUUCUGCCAUUCGGAUGGGGUCCUAGGAUCUGUAUUGGCCAAAAUUUUGCUAUGAUGGAAGCCAAAAUGGCGAUGGCUAUGAUUCUCCAACGCUUCUGGUUCGAGCUUUCCCCUUCCUAUGCUCACUCUCCUUACGGCAGGGCAACUCUUCGUCCACAGCAUGGUGCACAGAUAAUUUUACAUAAACUUGGCUGUAAUUGAAUUGUUAUGUAAACAAAUCUUUGUGAAAACAUAGCGUUUUAGUUUAUCGUCAAAGUCCGGUGUCUGUAAUGGUACAAAUUCGAUGCAUGAAUAGUAAAGUUUGAGAUGUUUGGUGAAGUCCGAAAUAAUAUGCAGAAAUUGAGUGUGGUAAUUAUCAAUCAAAUAAUUCGGUACAAAGACUUACAUGGAAAUUAAAGCAGGGGGAGUUGAAAAUGACUACUCUGCUUUGGGCAUCAAUUUAGAAAGAUUUAAAGUACAAAUGUGUUAUUAGUUAAGGGAUUUGUUUUAAAGAGGGAAUGACAAUUAAACCUCAUGGUUGAUUUGUGGAAGGGAACCGAUGAUGGGAUGAUUAUUCUUAGUGGUAAAAAAAACUAUUGUGGAGGUUAUUAUACUUGUUAUCAUCGGCUUAAAAUUCGAAUGGGUUCAAGUCGGAUUAUAUCGAGCUUGUAAGAUGAGUUCACGGAUCAAAUUUGCAUAAUAAAAAUACUUAAAUGAAAAAAAUUUCUAUUUUAGAGGGACCAGAGCCCCUACCAAUUCCCGGCUCAGCUACUAAACAAUACCCAUAUCAUAUAAAUAAAUACCACCAUAAAAAAAACUCAAAGAAAAACACUGACAAAUGAUAAAUAGAUAGAUGUUGGAUAAGUGUCCAAAAUAUGAUUUAAGUGAAGAUACAUGGGGUAGGUGUCACGGAAAUGUGAAUACAAGAAUACUACUAAUGGGAUGUGUACAGUUGAAUGUAGGGAGCAAAAAGAGGAGUGAAUCAUUUUGGUAACAUUGGGACAAGAAACAUAAUGAACAAAAUGGAAGGAGAGGAAGCUAGUAAAAGAAAUUUUUUGGGUCAUAUAAUUUGUUUGGCAUAUAUUUUUAUAAUUUUUAAAUAUCAUUUUGGACUUGAAUUAUAAUUUUUUUAUAUAUUAUCUUAAAAUUGUAUAAAUUUUAAGGAGUUAAAACAAAAUUAUUCUAUUUUUAGAUGGUUAAAGUAGAGAUGAUAAUGGGUUGAGCUAUUCGGCCCAGCCUGACGAUCCACCCGAAAAAUAGGAAGGUUUGGGUAAAAAUAUAGGCUUGAAAUAUGAAUUUGAGCAAAAAAAGAGGCCCGUUUAGAAAAUGGGCCGAGCCUCGGGUAAAACCUUUUGGGUCUAGACCUGACCUAAAUUAUAUAUUAAAUAUAUAUAUUUUUAUUUUUAAUCAAAUAUACUUUUGUUUUAUUAUUAAUUUGGUUAUUAUUUUAGUUCUAAUUUGUUUCAAUUUUAAUAUAACUACUUUUUAUUAUAUUUUCAAUUUGUGCAUUGUUUUAAGAAUUAUUUUAGUCUCAUUAUUUAUUUAUUUUUUAUUUUAAUAUUUGUUUUAAAAUUUUUUAUUUAUUGAAAUAAGCUAAAAAAAUUAAUAUGGGUUGGACCAGACCGGGCUCGGGCCUAGUAAUUUUCUUUUGGGCCGGACUUAAACAAAUUUUUAAGCCCAUAUUUUGAAUUGGGUCCUACACUAGAAAAUGGACCUAAAAUUUUGUAUUACCUUUAGGUCAGAGCUAUCCUCGUUUUGCAUUUCUUUGAGAUUCAGCCUUAUUUACUUUUGAUUGCCCACUCAAUAGAGGGUUGAGUAGAAAUAUUUGGUGAAGCAAGCUAAGCUAUCAAUCAAGGUGUGCAUAAUUAUUUAAAUGUAAUUCUAAUAUUAAAAUAAAAUUUUUAUUAAUAUAGUAUCAACAAGCAUUAAAUGUAAUCAUCAUAUACUAUUAAAUUUUCAAUAAGAGAAAACAAGCUUGAACUUUAAAAACGAUGUUACUAAAAACAUUAUCACAAAUCUUGAAAUAUAAAAAAUACUUUUUAAUAUAAUAAAAAAAUAAUUUUAAAACCGAGAUGAAUAAAAUUCUAAUUUUAAUUAAUGAUACCAACAACAAAUCAAUAUUUAAAUUAAAAUUUAUCUUAAUUUAAUAUAAUAAAAUUGGACUUGAAUAUUGAAUUUUUGAGUCUUGGGCAAAGUAGAGGUGCUCAUGGGCCGGGUUGGGUCGGGUUUGGGAAAAAUUUCGGCCCGCAUCCUAGGCUCGGGCUCGGCCCGACCCAAAUAUGGGCCUAAAAUUUUGUCUAGGCCUAGCCCGGCCCGGCCCAACUCAUUUUUUUUAAUAAACACCAAAAAUUUAUUUUGAAAAUAAAAAAAUAAAAAAAGUAUUUUAAAAAUAUUUUAAAAUUUUUAAAAAAUAUAUAUAUUUAUUAUAUAUUCGGGCCGGGCCAGGCCCGAGCCAAAAAAGUGGCGCCCAAGGCCCGGCCUGUUUUCUAAACGGGACUCAUUUUUUACCCAAACCCAUAUUUCGGGCCUAUAUUUCUACCCGAAUCUCUCAUAUUUAGGGCGAACCGUCGGGCCGGACCGGGCCGCCCGGCCAUGAACACCUCUAGGACAAAGUCACUCAAUGAAUGCAUGGAAAGAAAUAAUGCAACUUGGUGAUAGCUUUUGUUGGAGUUAUAUGCUUUUUUUUUACGUAGUGGAACUUUCGGUGGAUUUUCAAGUUUCAUGAACUUUAUACUCUAUGCUUUACGUGAAAAAAAAAAUUCAUUGGACUUAAAAGUCUACCAAAAGUUUCACUAAAAAAAAAACCAUUGCUACAAGAUUACAACAUAAAGUUACAAUAAGAGCUUAUAACUCAACAAAGGCUAUCAAUAAAUAAUCUCAAACAAAUUAAAGAGAAAUGUUGAGAGUACCACUCGAAUAGUGAUUAACUUUAAAAAUUGAAAACCCAAAGUUAUAAUAUCCCAAACGAAAUCAAACCAUAAACAUUAAAUUUUUCGAGUCUACUAGAUACUGCAAAAAAUUCAGCUCCAACAGACACCAAAUGAACCUAUGAUCGAAGAAAAUACGAAAACUAGUCUAGCUAAAUCAAGCUGCCAAACUUACUUUUUAUCUUAUCUUUAAUUUGCUGUGAAAUUCAAAACUAAGGUUUUGUACUUAGAACAACUUUCAAAAAGUUAAUUUUGAAAAAUGGAUUGAAUUUUCAAAAUAGAUGAUAUUUUAUUGUGUUAAAAUUUUAUUCGUUGUUUGAAAAAAAAUUUAAAUCAUUUUCUUAGAAUUAUUUUUAGUGAAACAAACAUAUCAUAAAUAUAUUUGUUAUAAAAUAUUUAUAUUAAUAUUUUCUUUUAACAAUUAAAAUAUAUUUUGUGAUAAGGUAUAUUUUAUAAUAAUUAAUAUCAUAUAUACUUAAUAAUAAAUCAUGUCUAAUUAAAAUUUAAUUUCAAUUAAAUAUAUUAAUAAAGCUACAUAUAAUCAUAUUUUAUAUAAUAAAAAUAUUAAUAUAAAUAUUUUUUUAAUAAUAUAUUAAAGAAUAUUUAAAAUUUAAAUUUAUUAUUACUAAGAUUAAUUAUUAAAAUAAAAAUGUAAUGUUAAAUAAUUUAUCCAAUGAUAAGUUAUAUUAAUAAUUUAUUAUAUUAUUAAAUAUAAAUAAUUAAAUAUGUAUGUUUAAUAAUAUUAUGUUAUAAUAUUUAUUAUUAAUAUUUUAAUAUUUUUAAACAACCAUGUUUUAAAGAUGGUGGUGAUGGUGAUGGUGCAGGCCCCCUUGUUACAAUUACAAUAUUUUUAAGUGGGAUGCAUGUAAUAUAUUGUUAGGGUUUUAGAGUGUGUGGUCUUUAAAAGGGUUAAAUUAUAUAUUUAUAUAAUAUGAUUAUUGUUUAUAAAUAUAAUAUUGUAGAUAAACUUUUAUGCAUGUCAAUAUGUAUCCUACUCUGGGGUUAAUAUGUAUUUUUAGAUAUGGAUUCACCUAUAUAAUAGUAUGAAUCCAUCAUGCGGUCUCAUGAAAUAUACAAACACAUAUCGUGCGAACACAAAGUACGAACAAUAAAAAGUACAAAUCAAGACCAAUUGAGUAAUUGAAUAGCAGAUAGGUAAUAAUGACUAUCCCCUCUUGUUUGAAUUUAUUUUAUUUCCAGUGAGUUAUCGUUUAUGAUAAAUUUACAACAAAUGUUUUUAUCAUUAUUUUGUUGGUAAAUGAUAAUAAGAUUAAACUUUACUUUCUUAAGCUCCUUCAAUUCUUUGGACGUUAGCAAGUAAACUUGAGCUUCAGCAUUCCACAAACACCUUAAUUUGAAGACACAGUUCUCCCAUACUAAAAACAACAUGGACGUUUACCUUGUAAUUAGAGAUUUGGGCUCAUUGUUAGGUUAUUAAUGAUACGGGGAUGGAGAGCUUUAAACUGGGUAUGGCUGGCCCCAAAGAGGCUCGAAACGUGCUUGAGACUAGAGGUCCAGGCAAAUUUUUAGGCCCAUUUUUUAGGCCUGGACUGGGCCCGACUCGAAAUAUGAGCUUAAAAAUUUGUCUAAGUUCGGUCCAAAAGAAAAUUGUUAAGCCUAAGCCCGGCCCAUAUUAAAUUUUACAACACCAAAAAACUAUAUAUUUAAUAUAUAUAUUUGAUUAAAAAGUAUAUUUAAUUAAAAAUAAAAAUAUAUAUUUAAUAUAUAAUUCGGGCCGGGCCGAACUCGGGCCAAAAAAGUUUUACUCGGGGCUGGUCCGUUUUCUAAACAGACCUCGUUUUUUUGUCAAAAUCCAUAUUUUAGGCUUAUAUUUUUACCCGAAACUUCCUAUUUUUCGGGUGAACCGUCAGGCCGGACUAGGUAGCCCAACCAAUGAUCACCUCUACUUGAGACAACAGGGUUUUGCAGGGAAUUCUUACAGGUUCGUUUCUGGCGACAUAAAAGAGCUCUUCACUAUAAGCAUACAAACAAGAGCCAAACCUAUGCCUCUUAGUGAUGAUAUUGGGCCUUAUGUUGUUCCUUUUCAACAUCAAACCGUCAAUCAGUAUGGUAUGUUUUUUAAUUUAAUCUGCAAUUUAUGAUAAUUCUUUGCUAUUUAUGUAUGGAAUUUAUUGGGAGGAAAUGCUGGGAAGAAUUCAUUUACGUGGAUUGGUCCAAGAUCAAGGGUGAACAUUACGGACCCGGAAAAAUAAGAGAAAUACUUAACAAAUUUAAUGACUUCCAGAAGGUACGUACCAAUCCACUGCUUAAUUUGCUUGUAAGCGGCCUUGUUAACCUCGAAGGAGACCGAUGGAGCAAGCAUAGAAAAAUCAUAACCCUUCAUUUCAUCAAGAUAAGUUGAAGGUAUAGAAUAGUGAUGGGUACUUAGACUUAAUUUACAGAAAACAUCAUACUUAAAUCUAUGCUUUUCUGAUUUAGAAAUGAUUGGAUGCAGAAUAUGUUGCCAGCAUUUUAUCAAAGUUGUUGUGACAUGUUAAGCAAAUGGGAGAAGAUGGUGUGUACAGAAGGAUACAGUGAGUUAGAUGUGUGGCCUUAUCUUGUAGAUUUGACAAGAGAUGUGAUUUCCCGAUCUGCUUUUGGAAGCAGCUUCGAAGAAGGCAGACGAAUUUUCCAAUUACUAGAGGACCAACUCGUUCUCACAAUCAAAUUAAUACAAACUGUUUACAUUCCAGGAUGGAGGUAACCCUCAACUUAAUUUACUUGAAAAAGGUUGCAAAUGUUGGAAUUGGCUAAAUUCGUGUUUGUUUUCUUGAAGGUUUUUGCCAACAAAGACAAACAGGGAGAUGAAGAUGAAACACAGACAUAAAAGAGUCGCUUAGGGAAAUGAUAAAGAGAAGGGAGAAGGCAAUUAAAGCAGGGGAAGAGAGCAAUGAGGACUUGUUGGACAUACUUGUGGAAUCCAAUAUCAGAGAAAUGGAAGCAAAGAAAAAGGGGAUGAGCAUUGAGGAUGUGAUUGAGGAAUGCAAGCUGUUUUACUUUGCUGGCCAGGAGACCACUUCGGUCUUGCUGGUGUGGACUAUGGUUUUAUUAGCAAGGUAUCCCGAUUGGCAAAGUAAAGCAAGAGAGGAGGUUUUGCAUGUUUUGGGUGACAGUAAACCUGAUGCUGAUGGCCUUAAUCGUCUCAAAGUUGUAAGUCCCUAGCAUGUCUCUUGAAGGUCCGAUCUCUGAGGUCGACAACUCAAAAACUUGGUUUCUUUGUUUCGCUAAUUCUACAGUUAACAAUGAUAUUGUACGAGGUUCUAAGGCUGUACCCACCAGUGAUUGAGCUAGGACGUUCCGUUCCAAAAGAAAUAAAACUGGGAAAUUUGUUGUUACCAGCAGGAACAGACGUUUCGGUUCCAAUCCUGCAGAUCCACCAUGACAAAGAUCUUUAGGGCGACGACGCACGGGAAUUUAAGCCACAGCGGUUCACGGAAGGGGUUUCCUAAGCAACAAAGAGUCAAGUCACGUUUCUGCCAUUCGGAUGGGGUCCUAGGAUCUGCAUUGGCCAAAACUUUGCCAUGAUGGGAACCAAAAUGGCGAUGGCUAUGAUUCUCCAACGCUUCUGGUUCGAGCUUUCCUCUUCCUAUGCUUACUCUCCUUACAACAUGGCAACUCUUCGUCCACAGCAUGGUGCACAGAUAAUUUUACAAAAACUUGGCUGUAAUUGAAUUGUUAUGUAAACAAAUCUUUGUGAAAAUAUAGUGUUUUAGUGUAUCGUCAAAGUCUGCCUGUAAUGGUACAAUUCCGAUGCAUGAAUAGUAAAUCUUGAGAUGUUUGGUGAAGUCCGAAAUAAUAUGCAGAAAUUGAGUGUCUUGAAUGGAUGUAGUAUUUAAUGGUGGACAUAGUUGAGGGACUAAUGUGGUAAUUAUCAAACAAAUAAUUGCAUAUGGUACAAAGACUUGUAUGGAAAUUAGAGCAGGGCGAGUUGAAAAUUACUACUUUGCUUCGGGCAUCAAUUUAGAAAGAUUUAAAGUACAAAUGUAUUAUUAGUUUAAGGGAUUUGUUUUAAAGAAGGAAUGACAAUUAAACCUCAUGGUUGAUGUGUGGAAGGGAACCAAUGAUGGGAUGAUUACUCUUAGUGGUAAAAAAAAAAACUAUUAAGGUGGUUAUUAUAGUUGUUAUCACCGGCCCAAAAUUCGAAUAGGUUCAGGUCGGAUUAUAUUGAGCUUGUAGAUGAGUUUGCAUGAUAAUAGGUGUUCACAGAAAGAUAUCUAUAGUUUCCUACAAAGUCACAUGUGAGAUCGUGCAUUGGGACCGCAUAAAAAUGUUUUAUGUUUAGAAUAUGAUACGUGUCUAUGUGUAUGGAAUCUACCUAAUAUAUCAUAUUAAUUAAUAGUAUCAAUUGCGGAGCCAAAAAAUUAUUUCUGAGGGGUCAGAAUUAAAUUGUAUAUUUUUACAAAAAUAAAAAUUAAAUUUCACUAUUUUAAUAGUUUAUUUCUUUUUAAUUUUUAAAUGAUUAAAUUAAAUUUUUAUAAAUUUUUGGGAUCAAAGUACAAUUUUAUCAUUUCUAAUUUAAAAUUUUAUAAAAUAUAAAAAGUUUAUAUGAAAAGUUUUCUAUUUUAGAGUGGCCAAAGCCCCUGCCAACUUCCGACUCGAUCACUAAACAAUAUAAAUAAAUAAAUACCACCAUCUAAAAGACUCAAGAAAAACACUCAACGAUAAAUAGAUAGAUGUUGGGUAAAGAUACGUUUGGAUGGGCGGUGCGUUUACUUGCGGUUAGUAUAAAAAUAGCGGUGGCGGUUAGAUUAGAUACUAUAGCAACACUGUAGCGUAAGACAAAAAAUAAGCUAAACGUACUGCACUGCACUUAAUCGCCCAUCCAAACUCACCCUAAGUGUACAAAAUAUGAUUUAAGUGAAGAUACGUAGGGUAGGUGUCAUGGAAAUGUAAAAGACAAGAAUCCCACUAAUGUAUGGGAUGUGUACAGCUGAAUGUAGGGAGCAAAGAGGAGUGAAUCAUUUUGGUAACAUUUGGACAAGAAACAUAAUGAACAAAAUGAAAGGAGAGGAAGCUAGUAAAAGAUUUUUUUGAGUUAUAUAAUUUGUUUGGCAUAUAUUUUUAUAAUUUUUAAAUAUCAUUUUGGAGUUGAAUUAUAAUUUCUUUUUAUGUUUUAAAACAUAAUUAUUCUAUCUUCAAAGGGUUAGAGUAGAGGUGAGCAUGGGUCGGGCUACUCGGCCCGAAAUGUGAGAGAUUUGGGCAAAAAUAUAGGCUCAAAAAAUGGACUUGGACAAAAAAAUAUAAGACCCGUUGAAAAAUGGGCCGGGCAUUGGGUAAGGCAUUUUUGGCCCUGGGCCCGGCCCAAUCCUAAUUCACUAAAGGACAAAAAAAAUUUGAUUUUUAAAUAUUAUUUUCUUCCUAUUUUGCUACCAUUUUACUAUUAUGUUGCUACUAUUUUGUUGUUAUUUUUUGGAUAUUGUAUAAAACUUAUUUUAUUGUUAAUUUUGUUAUUAUUUUAAAGACAUUUGUUAAUUUUGUUAUUAUUUUAGAGACAUUUGCUUGUUAAGUUGUAUCUAUCUUAGUGUUAUUUAAGUGUACAUAUUUUUUAAAAUUUAUUUUCAAUUUAUUGGGAAAUAUUUAUUUUGAUGUUUUUAGUAUUUUGGAUGUAUUAUAUAUAUUAAAAUUAUAUAAAAAUUAAUAUGGCCGAGCCGAGUCAGGCCCAGAUUUUAGCAUUUUUAUUCAGGUCGGGCUUGAGCAAAAUUUUAAGCCCAUUUUUUGGGCCAAACCAGGCCUGGGCUUAGCAAAUGGGCCUAAAUUUUUAGUCAAGCCCGACCUAAACCCGAUCCGGCCCAUGCUCACCUCUAGAUCAGAGCUGCCCUCGCUUUGCAUUUCUUUGAGAUUCAGUCUUAUCUACUGUUGAUUGCCCACUCAAUGGAGGGUUGAGUAGAAAGAUUUGGUGAAGCAAGCUAAGCUAUCAAUCAAGGUUGGAGAAAGCUUAGGAGGUCACAAUGCAUAAUUAUUUAAAUGUAAUUCUAAUAUUUAAAUAAAAUUUAUUAAUAUAGUAUUAACAAGCCCUAAAUGUAAUGAGUAUAUACUAUUACAUUUUUAAGAAGAGAAAACAUGUUUGAACCUUAAAAACAUCAUUAUUAAAAAUGAUAAUUACAAAUUUUAAAAUAUAAAAAAUAUAAUUAAAAAUUAAUUUUAAACCCGAGCUGGAUAAAAUUCUAAUUUUAGAUAACGAUACUAAUAAGAAAUCAAUAUUAAAAUGAAAAUGAAAAGUAAUUUAAUAUAAUUUUUGAGUCUUGGGCAAAGGCACUCAAUGAAUGCUUGGAAAGAAAUAAUGCAACUUGGUGAUAGCUUUUGUUGGAGUAGUAUGCUCUUAUUAUAGUUUUAUGUUUUUAUCUUGCAAAAACAACAUAUUGGAGUUUUCGGCAUGAUUUUUUCUUAAUACUUUACAUGAAAAAUAAUAAUGGGACUUAAAAAUCUAUCAAAAGCUUCACCAUAAUAAUAAUAAUAAUAAUAAUAAUAAUAAAUUGCUACAAUAUUACAACACAAAGUUACAAUAAGAGCUUAUAACUCAACAAAGGUUAUCAAUAAAUAAUCUCAGGCAAGCUAAAGAGAAAUGUUGAGAAUACCACCCGAAUAGUGACUGACUUUAAAAGUUGAAAACCCGAAGCUAUAGUAUCUCAAACGAAAUCAAACCAUUAACAUUAAAAUUUUCAAGUCUACUAGCUACUGUAAAAAAUGCAGCUCCAACAUACACCAAAUGAGUCUUUGAUCGAAGAAAGUACAAAAACUAGUCUGGGUAAACCAAGCUGCCAAACUUACUUAUCUUAUCUUUAAUUUUGCAGUGAAAUUAAAAAUUAAGUUUUUGUUUAUUUCACUUGGAACAACUUUCAAAAAAUUAUUUUUGAAAAAUGGAUUGGUUUUUCGAAAUAGAUGAUAUUUUAUUGUGUUAAAAUUUUAUUCGUUGUUGGAAAACUUUUUUUAAAUCAUUUUCUUAAAGUUAUUUUUAGUGAAACAAACAUAACAUAAAUAUAUUUGUUACAAAAAAAUUAUAUUAGUAUUUUCUUUUGACAAUUAAAAUUUAUUUUAUGAUAAGACAAUAUUUUGUAAUAAUUAAUAUCAUAUAUAUAUACGUAAUAAAAAAAUCUUGUUUAAUUAAAAUUUAAUUAAAAUUAAAUAUAUUAAUAAAGCUACAUAUAAUCAUAUUUUUUAUAAUUAAAAUAUUAAUAUAAAUAUUUUUCAAUAAUAUAUUAAAAUAUUAAAAUUUAAAUUAUUAUUACUUAAAUUAAUUAUUAAAAUAAAAAAUUUAAUAUUAAAUAAUUUAUUCAAUGAUAAGUUUUAUUAAUAAUUUAUUGUAUUAUUAAAUAUAAUUAAUUAAAUAUGCAUAUUUAAUAAUAUUACGUUAUAAUAUUUUAAUAUUCUUAAACAGCCAUGUUUUUAAGAUGCUGGUGAUGGUGAUGCUGCGGGCCUCUCUUGUUACAAUUACUAUAAUUUUUUGUGCAAUAAUUGAAGUUGUUGGGUGGUCAAGCAAACCUCUUUUGACUGAGAUGCAUAUAAUAUACCCGCAUGUCCCCGCCUCCUAAAAUUUAAAUUUGUUAUUUGAAUCUUUAAAUUUUUUAAUAUAAUAUACCCGCAUGUCCCCGCCUCCUAAAAUUUAAAUUUGUUAUUUGAAUCUUUAAAUUUUUUAAAAAUUUUAAAUUCAUAAAAGUAAAAUUAUACUUUGACCCUCUAAAAUUAUAAAAAUUUAAUUAAUCUUUUAAAUUCAUUGGGCCCCUAAUAUAUUGUUCAGGCUUCACCCUUGAUACUGAUGUUGACUAUUUUAGAGUAUGUGUCUUCUUUAACAGGGUUAAAUUAUAUAUUUAUAUAAUAUAGUUAUUGUUUAUGGACGUGACAUCGUAACUAGGUUCUUAUGCAUGUCAACAUAUAUCCUAUUUUAAGGUUAACACGUAUUUUUAAAUGUGAAUUCACCUAUAUAAUGGUAUGAACCAUCAUGCAGUCUCAUAAAAUAUGCGAAUAUAUGUCGUGCGAACACAAAGUACAAUCCACACAGAAUACGAAUUAAGACCCAAUUGAAUAAUCGGAUACGAAUCAGUAAUAAUGAAUUUCAUAACAGCCACCAACCCCUCUUUUGUUUUAAUUUAUUUUAUUUCCAGUAAGUUAUUGUUUGUGAGAAUUCACAACAAAUGCUUUUGUCAUUAUUUUGUUGGUAAAUAAUAAUAAGAUUAAACUUUACUUUCUUAAGCUCCUUCAAUUCUUUGGAAGUUGGUGGUUUUUUAUUCUAAUCUUAUUUUUUUUAUUAAUUUCUUUUUUUAUAAUAAAUGUGUUUAUAGAUCAGGUUGGAUUAUAAUUGAAUCAUUGUCUGGUAUUAACAUAAUUUAAAUCGAUUAAAAUUUAUUCGACUGGAAAUAUAAAUUUAAAAUUUUACUUCAAUUUAUCUUAAUUUAUAAAUUGUGAAUUUAAAUUUAUUUAUUUUCUCUCAUUAUAUUCAGUUUUUCGGAUCAUAUUUGGCCCAGAACAAAAACUAGAACAAAAAAACAAAUAUAUAUGUUUUCCAAAAAUUAAAUUGUUAACUUUAAAAAAAUAUAUUUUUAGCUAUUUAUCAUCAUAGAGAAAAACAAAUAAGGUCACCUCGCCUUAUGCUUCAACACCUCAACCUAGAUUCUCAUCACCUGUAUUUAUCAUCGAUUCAGAUUUUUAUUUUUACUAUAUUCUAGAUCUACCUAUAAAUAUAUCUUCAAACUUCCUCUGGUUAAGUUCAUUCAUAGAUAGGUGAGUAAACUUGAGCUUCAGCUUCAACAAACACCUUAGUUUGCAAUUCUCUCAUACUAAAAAUAUGGAAGUUUACCAUGUAAUUAGAGAUUUGGUCUCAUUGCUUGUUGUUGGUUUAUUAAUGAUAUGGGGAUGGAGAGCUUUAAACUGGGUAUGGUUGGCCCCAAAGAGGCUCGAAAGGUGCUUGAGACAACAGGGUUUUGCAGGGAAUCCUUACAGGUUCCUUUCUGGUGACAUAAAAGAGCUCUUAACUAUGAGCAGACAAACAAGAGCCAAACCUAUGCCUCUUAGUGAUGAUAUUGGGCCUUAUGUUGCUCCUUUUCUUCAUCAAACUGUCAACCAGUAUGGUAUGUUUAAUUAUUAUUUAAUCUUCAAUUUAUGAUAAUUCUUUGUUAUUUAUGAAUGGAAUUUAUUGGGAGGAAAUGCAGGAAAGAAUUCAUUUACGUGGAUUGGUCCAAGACAAAGGGUGAACAUUAUGGACCCUGAAAAAAUAAGAGAAAUAUUUACCAAAUUUAAUGACUUCCAGAAGGUGCGUACCAAUCCACUGCUUACUUUGCUUGUAAGCGGCCUUGUUAACCUCGAAGGAGACCGAUGGAGCAAACAUAGAAAAAUCAUAAACCCUUCAUUUCAUCAAGAUAAGUUGAAGGUAUAGAAUAGUGAUGGGUACUUAAGACUUAAUUUACAGAAAACAUGAUACUUAAAUCUAUGCUUUUCUGAUUUAGAAAUGAUUGGAUGCAGAAUAUGUUGCCAGCAUUUUAUCAAAGUUGUUGUGACAUGUUAAGCAAAUGGGAGAAGAUGGUGUGUACAGAAGGAUACAGUGAGUUAGAUGUGUGGCCUUAUCUUGUAGAUUUGACAAGAGAUGUGAUUUCCCGAUCUGCUUUUGGAAGCAGCUUCGAAGAAGGCAGACGAAUUUUCCAAUUACUAGAUGACCAACUCGUUCUCAGAAUCAAAUUACUACAAACUGUUUACAUUCCAGGAUGGAGGUAACCCUCAAUUUACUUGAAAAAGGUUGCAAAUGUUGGAAUUGGCUAAAUUCGUGUUUGUUUCCUUGAAGGUUUUUGCCCACAAAGACAAACAGGGAGGUGAAGAUGAAACACAAAGACAUAAAAGAGUCGCUCAGGGAAAUGAUAAAAAGAAGAGAGCAGGCAAUUAAAGCAGGGGAAGAGAGCAAUGAGGACUUGUUGGACAUACUUGUGGAAUCCAAUAUCAGAGAAAUGGAAGCAAAGAAAAAGGGGAUGAGCAUUGAGGAUGUGAUUGAGGAAUGCAAGCUGUUUUACUUUGCUGGCCAGGAGACCACUUCGGUCUUACUGGUGUGGACUAUGGUUUUAUUAGCAAGGUAUCCCGAUUGGCAAAGUAAAGCAAGAGAGGAGGUUUUGCAUGUUUUGGGUGACAGUAAACCUGAUGCUGAUGGCCUUAAUCGCCUCAAAGUUGUAAGUCCCUAGCAUGUCUUUUGAAGGUCCGAUCAAUAAGGUCGACAACUCAAAAAUUUGGUUUCUUUUUUCGCUAAUUCUACAGUUAACAAUGAUAUUGUACGAGGUUCUAAGGCUGUACCCAUCAGCGACUGAGCUAGGACGUUCCGUUCCAAAAGAAAUAAAACUGGGAAAUUUGUUGUUACCAGCAGGAACAGAAAUUUCGGUUCCGAUCCUGCUGAUCCACCAUGACAAAGAUCUUUGGGGCGAUGACGCACGGGAAUUUAAGCCAGAGCGGUUCGCGGAAGGGGUUUCCAAAGCAACAAAGAGUCAAGUCACGUUUCUGCCAUUCGGAUGGGGUCCUAGGAUCUGCAUUGCCCAGAAUUUUGCUAUGAUGGAAGCCAAAAUGGCGGUGGCCAUGAUUCUCCAACGCUUCUGGUUCGAGCUUUCCCCUUCCUAUGCUCACUCUCCUUGCAGCAUGGUAACGCUUCGUCCACAGCAUGGUGCACAGAUUAUUUUACAUAAACUUGGCUCUAAUUGAGUAGUUAUGUAAACAAAUCAUUGUGAAAAUAGUGUUUUAACGUAUCGUAAAAACUCCGGUGUCUGUAAUGGAACAAUUCCGAUGCAUGGAUAGUAAAUUUUGUGAUGUUUGGUGAAGUCCGAAAUAAUAUGCAGAACUUGAGUGUCCUGAAUGGAUGUAGUAUUUAAUGGUGGACAUAGUUGAGGGACUAAUGUGGGAAUUAUCAAACAAAGAAUUGCAUAUGGUACAAAGACUUGUAUGGAAAUUAGAGCAGGGGGAGUAGAAAAUGACUACUUCUACGGGCAUCAAUUGAGAAAGAUUUCCGGUGCAAAUGUUAGCAAAUUUUUGAGCUUCAGCCUUAAACAUUAGCAAGAUUGCAAUACCGGGAUUAUCUAGUGUUGGUUGCCCACUCAAUUGAGGGUUAAGUUGAAGGAUUUGUUGAAGCAAGCUAAGCUAUCAAUCAAGGUUGGAGCAAGCUUAGGAGGUCACAAUACAUCAUUAUUGCAUAAUUAUUUAAAUGAAAUUUAAUAUUUAAAUAAAAAAUAUUAAUAUAGUACCAACAAUAUUCCAUUUCUUUUAACCAAGUGUUUCUAGAUUAUGAAAUUCAUUAAUGAUUUGUAAAAUAUAUUGAUGCGAUCCCGGCCGCAUCAUGUUUCGAUACAACUCGAUGACCUCAGAAUUGACCUAAACUCUAGGGGCCCAAGUGCAAAAUGAAGCUUAAUUUCAGCUCAAUGAGCUCAAUUCUAGCUUCUUCAAGCUCGUCUAGUUCAACCCAAGCUCAUUUAGCUUAACUUCAACCCAUUUUUAAUUUGUUGGAAUAAGUAUUUAGUUGCUGGAAUAAAUUACUCAUCUUAGUUAAUUGAGUUCAUCUUAGUUAAUUAAGUUGUUGGAAUAUAUUACUCAUCUUAGUUAAUUUAGUUGCUAGAAUAAUUUAUUGUUGCAUGUGUUUUUAAGUUUAUUAAAUUCAGUUAAGUGUUAAAUGUGUUUAUUUACAGUUUAUUAACUAAGCUUGUUAAGUCUAAUAUGUGUUAAAAUGUGUUUAAUGUGUUUGUUUGUAGGUGACUAAUCAGUUGGAAACAAUUAUGUACAAGGGCUGUUACAAAGUGUUAAAUGCGACUAUUCAUUUGGAAUCGGUUACAUACAAGGGGCUAUUACAUUAUUUAAAGGAGAGCAUUAUACAUCAUUUAAAGGAGAAUUUAAAGCUUUUCUUAAAACUUUUUGGCUGCUCAAGAAUGAAAUCUAAGCAUUCAAGCUUAUUAAAUCAACUGAAUUAGAACAUUAAAUGAUCUUAUUGAUAGUUGCUGUUAUUUAGGCCUAGAAUUUCAAGAGUUUGUGCUUAGUGACUAAGUUAAUUUCAGCUCAUUAUUAGCUCAUUAAGCUGAACAAAAGUGACUAUUCGGCUAGGCCUCAUCUAGCACUAUAAAUACUUGUAAUCAGCUCAUUGUAAAAAAAACUUUUUGCUGAAUUUAUGCUAAAUUUGAAACUUGUGAGAUUUCCAAUUCUCGUUGUUCUUUCGAGAUUGAAUUGACUUAUCAAGUUUUCUUGUGGCAUCAUUCUUUCUUUUGUUUAAACCGAAUCUUAUCACCUUUUGGUGUGGCGUUCAUAUACAUUUGGUUCCUAUCACUUUUGAUAGUGGGUAAAGGUCAUUGCUGCUUUCUUUAAAUCGUAAAUCACCUAAGAGCCAUUUUGAGACUCGGGUCAACAAUCUAAUAUUGUUGGUUCAUUCUCGGUCUUAGCCAAAUUAUCCAUUAUUUACUUAACCAUUUUACCUACUACCAUUGUUUGAAGCCAUUUAUCCUAUUUUGUUUCAUUUAACUGAAACGAACUUAUCCUUACUCAAUUCACGAUCGGGUAAUCUAAACGACUCGAAUCAUUCCGAAACGAGUUCGUAUCAUAUAUCCUCCAUUCUUAUUGAGUGGGUGUAAUGAAAAUUCUCCUAUUUCUAAUUGUGAUAAAGUAGAAACUCUCUUUAGAAAAAAGGCAGCAACAUUUUUCAAUUAUUAAUUGAACACCUUGGUGAAUUUUCGUUUUUUUUCUUUUUUUCUUUUUACGGUUCAAUUUUCGUUUGGGUAUUGUAAUUUCAGGUUAAUCAUUGUUUGGUUGAUAUUCUCAACUUCAAUCUUUAAUUUACUUGAGAUUAUUAGUUGAUUGUUUUUGUUGGAAUUAUAUGAUUUUAUUGUGUAUUUAUGUUUUAAUCUUUUAGAAAGAAGUUUUUAUGUGGACUUUCAAGCUUCGUAAUUUUUAUUAUUUGCUUUACGUAAAAAAAACUCGUGGGAUACAAAAAUUCACAAAAAAACUUGCUAUAAGAUUACAACACAAAACCAUAAGCUUAUAACUCAACAAAAGCUAUCAAUAAAUAAUCUCAAGCUAGCUAAAGAGAAAUGUAAAGAAUAUCACCCAAACAGUAACUUGCUUUAAAAGUUAAAAAUCCAAAGUUAUAGUACCCCAAACGAAAAUCGAAUAUUAAACAUUAAAGAUCUUCGAUUCUACUAGCUAUUGUAAAAAAAAAAAAUUCCAACGGACACCAAAUAGACCUUUGAUCGAAGAAAAUACGAAAACUAGUCUGGUUAAAACUACAUGCCAAACUCACUUUUUCUCAUUUCUUUAACUUGCGGUGAAAUUCAAAACUAAGGUUAUAUUUUUUUCACUGAAAUUAACUUUAAAAAAAUUAUCUCUAAAAAAUGAUUGAUUUUUCAAAAAAGAUUGAUAUUUUUUUAUGUUUGGAUGAUUUUUUGUAAAAUAUAUUUCGUUGUUUGACAAAUUUUUUUGAAAUAAUUUUCUUAGAGUUGUUUUUAGUAAAACAAACAUAAGAUAGAUAUAUUUGUUACAAAAGAUUAUAGUAACAUUUUCUUUUGACAAUUUAAAUUUAUUUUAUAACCAGAUGAUAUUUUAUAAUAAUUAAUAUUAUAUAUAAACUUAAUAAUAAACAAUAUCUAAUUAAAACUUAAUUUAUAUUAAAUAUAUUAAUAAAGCUAAGUAUAAUUUAAACAAAUACUCAUGUUUUAUAUCAUUAAAAUAUUAAUAUAAAUAUUUUUCAAUAAUAUAUUAAGAAUAUUAUUUAAAAUUUAAAAUUAUUAUUUUUAAAAUUAAUUAUUAAAAUAAAAAUGUAAUAUUAAAUAAUUUAUCAAAAUGAUAAGUCAUAUUAAUAAUUUAUUAGAUUAUUAAAUAUAAAUAAUUAAAUAUGUAUAUUUAAUAAUAUUGAACAUUAUAAUAUUUUUUAUUAAUAUUUUAAUAUUAUUAAUAUAAUAAUAUUGGACUUGAUUCAAGUUAAUUUUUAUAUAAAAAAAUAAAAUUACAUGUAAAUGAACUCAUUUUCAAAAAAAUAACUUGUACUUUUAAAAAAGGUAAACUAAUUUACAGAAAAAUAAACUUAUUUUCUGUUAAUCUAUAAUUUUUUUUGUUAAUCAAAUUAUUUUCAUGAAAUAAAUAUAAAAAAAUACAAAAAAAAAACAGUUUCCAUAUUAACACUCAAUACUAAACUGUCAUUUUCCUCAGCUUCCCUAAUUUGUAUGUAGCAGUGAACGUUUGAUCGAAUCGAGUAAAAAAAAUUGAGUUGACGAGUCAUAUUUUAUCAUCUUAACUUGAUUUGAGAUUUUUUUAAAUCAAGUCAAAGACUAAGAGCACAUAAAUUUGAAACCUUAUCUAUUUGAAUUUGUUUUUAAAAAAAAAGAAAAAAAAUACUUUAGCAUGAUAAACUUGAAUUGUGAAUUAACUUAUUUAGAUCCCAAAAUUAUUAUUUUAUAAUUUUUUUAAAAAAUAUAAAUUUUAAAAUUUUUAUAAAUAUUUUGAAUUGAAUUUUUGUUGAGAGAGAGACCGAUCUAUCAUUUUCAAAAUUAAAAAAAAGACCAAACUAUAUUUACAGCAAUUUAUUAUUCGAAUUAUUUAAAUUAUAUAAUUUAACUCAAUUUAAAAUCGAAACUCGAAUAACUAAAUUUAAUUAACCCGAAAUUUAUUUUUUAAAUUUUUUAAAUCAAAUCGAAUUUUGUUCGCCCUACAUCAAUAACUUUGUAUCCAUAUCAAGCUUUUUUUUAAGCUAUAUAUAUUAUUUUAGAGAAUACAUGGUCACCACGGUUCAAUGAUUGAACACCACUCCACUCUCCACUUUUUUUUGUGGUUUAUCCUCUUAAUUUUUUGAGGAUAUCAUUUACUAAAUAAUUUAUUUUUUACAUAAAUUUUAAUAUAUAUUAAUAAUAAAUUAAUUCAAUUGGUAAUAUUUAACUAUUCUCAUGACUCAUUUUUAAUAAAGAAAAUAAUAAAAUUCAAUUAUGAUAAGGAGGUUUUAUUUUUAACAAAAAUUAUUUUUUAUAUUUCUAAGUUUAAAUCUAAAUUUAUACAAGUUAUUCUUUAUUUUAUAUCUAAUUAUUGUAAAACAUAAAUAAUAAUUUUUUUUUUUCCUUUUCAUGCUACCAAACAAUCCAUUAAUCAUUAAUUAUAUUAAAAUCUUUGACUUAUUAAUAUUUAUGGACAGUAAAUCGGAUGCUAAAGAAAUCUUAGUCAAACCAAAAAGAAAGAAGAGAUAGAGGUGGGCAAAGCUGAGGUUCAGCUUUCAUAAACACCUUCAUUUGAAGACACAGUUCUCAUACUCAAACCAAAAGACAUGGAAGUUUUCCUUGUAAUUAGAGAUCUGGUUUCACUGCUUGUUGUUGGGUUAUUAAUGAUAUGGGGAUGGAGGGCUUUAAACUGGGUAUGGUUGACCCCAAAGAGACUCGAAAGGUGCUUGAAACAACAGGGUUUUGCAGGAAAUCCUUAUAGGUUCCUUUCUGGAGACAUCAAAGAGAGCUUCACUAUGAGCAGACAAACAAGAGCCAAACCUAUGCCUGUUAGUGAUGAUAUUGAGGCUUAUGUUGUUCCUUUUCUUCAUCGAACUAUCAACAAUCAUGGUAUGUUCUACAUUAAUCUGCAAUUUCAUCGUGAUAUUCAGAUUUCUUUUUUUAUGUCUGAAGUUUAUUAGGGGAUAUGCAGGAAAUAAUUCAUUUAUGUGGUUUGGUCCAAGACCAAGGGUGACAAUUAUGGACCCUGAAAAAAUAAGAGAAAUAUUUACCAAAUUCAAUGACUUCCAGAAGCCUCAUUCCAAUCCACUGGUUAGAUUCCUUGUAGGUGGCCUUUCCAACCUCGAGGGAGACCAAUGGAGUAAGCAUAGAAAAAUUUUAAACCCUGCAUUUCAUCAAGAUAAGUUGAAGGUAUGUUGUAUUUGCACUUUUUUUCCUCUUUCAAUUCAAUCAUUUUGACUUACCUUAAUCAAUACCUUUAGGAGACUAAUUUUCAUUUCUAAUAUAUUUAUGUACUUCUGGUAUGGAAAUAAUUGCAGAACAUGUUGCCAGCAUUUUAUCAAAGUUGUAAUGAGAUGAUAAGCAAAUGGGAGGAGAUGGUGUCUAAAGAAGGGUACAGUGAGUUAGAUGUGUGGCCUUAUAUCGUAAAUAUGACAAGAGAUGUGAUUUCCCGAGCUGCGUUUGGGAGCAGCUACGAAGAAGGAAGAGGAAUUUUCCAACUAUUAGAGGACCUAACCUCUCUCACAAUCAAAGUUUUUCAAUCUGUUUACAUUCCAGGAUGGAGGUAAACCUGAACUUUAUCUUCGAGUUUUAAGGAAAAUGUUACAGAUGUUGAAAUUCGAAUCUCGGGUGUUUGUUUUCUUGAAGGUUUUUACCCACAAAGACUAACAGGGAGUUGAAGAUGAAACACAAAGACAUAAAAGAAUCGCUUAGGGAAAUGAUAAAGAGAAGAGAGAAGGCAAUUAAAGCAGGGGAAGAGAGCAAUGAGGACUUGUUGGACAUACUUGUGGAAUCCAAUAUCAGAGAAAUGGAAGCAAAGCAUAAGGGGAUGAGCAUUGAGGAUGUGAUUGAGGAAUGCAAGCUGUUUUACUUUGCUGGCCAAGAGACCACUUCGGUCUUACUGGUGUGGACUAUGGUUUUACUAGCAAGAUAUCCUGAUUGGCAGACUAAAGCAAGGGACGAGGUCUUGCAUG